UUAUAUAUAUGUUAGUAUAACAUUAGAUUAAAUAUACGCUAAUAUAUAUAUAUAUAUAUAUAUUAGUCUCGAUUUAAAAAUAUAGAUCUUAGAUCAAUUUAAUAUAUAUAUACUACACAAAUCCUUUAUGUAUAGAUGGAGAUAUGAUAUUUGUAUUACUGAUGUUUAAUGUUAAUUAACGAAAUAAUUAGAAUAUCAUGGCACAUUUGUAACUAAUCUAGUAAUAUUUGGAUAAUUAAUUGUUUAAAUCAUAAAAUUCUGUGAACACGACACGUCAGCGUGGCAAUCUUGUAAAUCACACGGAGGGGCAAGGUUUUUUAUUAAUAAUGCUUCUCAAUUAAUAUAUAAUGGAUAAUAUCAUAAUUUUACUAUAUUAUUUCAAACGUCAUUCCUAAUACAAAUAUUUUGCUUUACUAAAAAAAUGUUACAAAAAUGCGUUUCAUAAAACAUUUAAGUUUAUAAGUUCAAAUAUUGUAAUAUAUAUGAACUAAAUCAUAUUAUAACUUUAUAUAUAUAUAUAUAUAGUAAUAUAAAUGUAUAUAUAUAUAUAUUGAAACUUAUAGUAACCUAUAUUUACUACACAUUAAUCAUACAUAUUAUUAAUAUAUGUUCCUUUUUGUAACCGAUUAUUUUUCGUAAGCAAAUUACACAUCAAAAAGAUAAAAUUUAAAACUACGGCACUCUAAUAUCAGUAUUAUACUAACAACACAUGCUUCUAUAUACCAAAUAUAGAUCACACAUUAACAUAAUAUAACUUUUAAAAUACCAAUAUUUUAUAAGAUCAAAUAGUUUUAAAAAGAAAAAAAAUCAGAAAUACAUGAUUUUAUGUUGUCAGCGCGGAUCAAAAACACCUUGUAGAAAAUUAGAGGAUAUUGGUUUUGCUUAUUUUACUAAAUUAAAUUAGGAUUAUUGGAGGGUAUUAUAGACUUUCGUACUACAUUUACAACUAUAAAUACCCUUCCACUUCUAUGGGUUUCUUUGCAACAUAUACUCAUUUCUCUGAGUAGGUGACCCCAUAAAGAAAAUCAUUUCCUCAGAGUCAUAGACCAAAGUCCAAACAAUGGAAUUCAAUUGUGUUCAUUUUCUUCAAAACAAGACGAUUCUUGUCACAGGAGCAACCGGUUUCCUUGCCAAGGGUAGGUCCUUUUGGUUAACUCCCACCAAUUAACUUACGUCCAAAAUGUUCUUCAAGAUUCGUUAGCCUGACGUAGUAACUAGAAAGAUUGUUCGAGUUCUCAUGAUGAUGUCUAGAAAAAUAAUAAAAAUUAAAAAAAAGAUUACUUUAAAAUCUUUGAUGUCUCCUUCUGUUGUGUUUAACUGUUUUUCAGCUCGUGGGUUCCUUAGAAUAUUAAAUAUAUUAUUUCCUAGUGACAACCAAUCGGAUUAUUAUUAAUAUUCACUAAUAUUUUUUAGUUUUUGUGGAGAAAAUUUUGAGAGUACAACCAAAUGUGAAUAAGCUGUACCUCGUGGUGAGAGCAUCCGACACUGACGCCGCGACGAAACGCUUACGCACAGAGGUUUGUUUUUAUACCAACAAACCUUAUUUUUGUACUAUCUAAUACAUAUUCGUUUUGCUGAAGUAUAUUCAUGAAUAUACAAUUAGAUAUUUGUUCAUCUGAUUAGCUGAAGUAUAUACAUAUGAUAGGCCUUCGAGAAAGAUCUUUUUAAGGUGUUAAGGGAGAGUCUUGGCGAUGAAAAUUUCAAUACAUUGUUGUCCGAAAAAGUUGUCCCGGUCGCAGGUGAUAUUGCGAUGGAUCAUUUAGGCAUGAAGGACUCUAAACUCAGAGAACGUAUGCAAAAAGAAAUCGAUAUUGUUGUUAAUGUGGCAGCCACAACUAAUUUUGACGAGAGGUACUAGCUACAAGACAUUUCUAAUAUAACAUUUCUAGUUUUCCUUUUGUUUUAUCUCUAAUAAAAUGUAAAUUUAAUAUAUACAUGUGAAAAAGAUAUGAUGUUGGUCUUGGAAUUAACACAUUUGGAGCUCUCAAUGUCCUUAACUUUGCCAAAAAAUGUGUUAAAGCUCAAUUGCUUCUCCAUGUUUCAACUGGUGAGUCUUUUUUUAAUUUCUAGCCAUUCCUCUAAAAAAAAAUUGUUAAAUUAUUUCCUUGUUUCUAUUUUUCUUCAUUUCUUUUUGUUUUUAAUGGGAUUAUAUCUUUUUUAUUGGAAGUUCCCUUAAAACACUAUCUUAUUAUGCUAUCAAAAUUUGUUAUAUUUUUUAACUAACUCAAGUUGGAAUUGGAAAAGUACAUUUAUUUUAUGAUGUUUAUAAAUUUAUCGAAAUUUCAAUAAAUUUCUCUGUAUUCAAAUUAUUUCACUCUUCAUAUGGUUCUUAAAAGCUUUAGUCUUACUUCUUUUUUGUCUCUAGCUUAUGUUUGUGGAGAGAAGCCAGGUCUCCUACCUGAAAAACCAUUUGUCAUGGAAGAGAUUCGUAACGAGAAUGAUUUUCAAUUGGAUAUACACCGUGAAAGGGAGCUGAUGAAGCAAAGAUUGAAAGAACUCAAUGAACAAGAUUGUUCAGAAGAAGACAUUACUCGCGCCAUGAAAGAACUCGGCAUGGAAAGGUGAGUGUUGUUGAUGAUUGAAAUAUCUAUAUUACUCAUCAGAAUGGAAUGAAAUAUAUAUAUGGUAUUAUGUUAAUGAUUAGGGCAAAGCUUCAUGGAUGGCCAAACACAUAUGUUUUCACCAAAUCGAUGGGAGAGAUGCUUCUUGGUAACUACAAAGAAAAUCUUCCUCUCGUCAUUAUCCGCCCCACGAUGAUCACUAGCACUCUUUCAGAACCAUUUCCUGGUUGGAUCGAAGGAUUAAGGUAACUUUGUCAUCGAUUAGGAUUUUUACGUUUGAUACAAAAAGUUAAACAUAACUUGUCGUUAGUCCAGGAUAGAACUUUUAUUUAUGAUUUAAUAACUCAAGAUUUCUAACCAACCUAUCUAGAAUUUCUUUCCUAGUUACAAUUGUUCUCGCAUUAAUGAUGUUUGUAUAUAGAACUGUAGACAGUGUGAUUAUUGCUUACGGAAAGGGAGUGCUCAAGUGUUUUCUUGUCGAUGUAAACUCGGUUUGCGAUAUGGUAAGUUGCCACCAAGACUAAAGAUGUGUAUUUUCCCAAACAGUCAUAUAUCUUAUCUAUACAUUUAUCAUACUCCCUAUAUAUUUAUGAGUUUAUUAGUAAUUUAAAAUAUUAACUAAUAUUAAAUAAAACCCAAACUCUUAUAGCUGUAUCCUAAUUUUUUUUAUUGGAUGCGAUAUGAAAAACAGAUACCAGCGGAUAUGGUGGCAAACGCGAUGAUCACGGCUGCAGCCACACAUGCUGGAGGUUCAAAGGUUCACAUGGUGUACCAAGUUGGUUCAUCUCGCCAAAACCCAAUAACAUAUGGAGAGAUCCGCGAAAUUUUGUUUUGUUACUUCACCAAAAACUCUGCGCAGUCGCAAUAGCUCGCUGAUAACCGUCUCAAAAAUGAAGCUGAUACCAACUAUGGCUUUGUUCAGCCUCUAUAUGACCAUACGUUACAAACUACCUCUCCAGGUACUAAUAGGCAUGAGAGGAUUUUUAAAUUAUUUAGUAUAUUUAAGCUAAUUAUGAUCAAACUUAUAAUUACUUUCUAACGAAGAAAACUAAAUAUUUUUUCAUAGGUAAUUUUUUGUAAUAGUGUUUUGAUCUGUAUUGUUAAUUCUUUAUUUUUCCUCUAUCAGUUAUUAAAAUUGGUUGAUAUAAUAUAUCCUUCGAGGAAAGGAGACAAUUACAAAAACAAGAACCGCAAAAUCGGUAUGGUGAUGAGAUUGGUAAACCUUUACGAGCCUUACGUACUCUUCAAGGGCAUGUACGUAUUCCUAGUGUGAAAUUUAACUCUCUUAACUAGUCAGAAUAAUAAAUUUGAAAGAAUGGUUUAUAUAUUUACAUAAGAUCAAUUUUUUUUUUGCAGAUUCGACGAUAGGAAUACUAAAAACUUAUGCGCCAACCAGAAAGGAGAGGACAACCAAAAUUCAGAAAAUUUGAAGUUUGAUUUCGACCCUAAAAUCAUUAAAUGGAGAGAUUAUCUUAUAAAUGUACACAUUCCUGGCCUCAUCAUUCACGUGCUUAAAAAAUAAAACCCAUGCAAAUUUUCUUGACUUUCAAAUGUAUCACCAAUAAGACAAGACAGUAUUUAUUUGUCUUUAAUUAAAACCAUAAAAAAAAAAAAUUAUUUGUACUUUGGUAUCACCAAACGUAAUGAUGUAUCAUGUAUAUAUUUCGUAAGUAUGUAUUAUCCUCUUAUAAUCUUAUUGUUGGCUCAUUUGAAUAUGCAAUGUUAGUGUACUAAUAUUUAGCUUAAACGGUUGUUUAGAUAUCAUUCUCGAACCUUUUGUCUCAUGCUUUAAAGCGAAACCCUUUUCCUUGCUGAUGAACAAAUUCAUCUCUCUUCUCUUGCCGGCGAGAACCUCGGCCAUAGAAUCUUCUCCAACGUCAUCUAGUCUAUUGACUGUGACCAUUGUUCUAUCCAACGCUUCAUUUGUGGAUGAAUGAUGAGUGUUUUCUUUCGCUCAAAGUUUUUUUUUAAAGACCACACGACUACUGCAAUUGCACAGUGAAUCGUCUAUAGUAUUUAAGGAUUGAAUCCCACAGAUAGAGAAGUUGUUUAUACGAAUCCGUCAGAAGAGAGUAAGGUUUGGACUAAUCAAUAAAAAGAGGGUUUUUGGUGGUGUCAUGAACGAUUGCAAUAAGUAAAUAAAAGCAAGUGUAAAGUAAUAAGAGACAAACGUUGGACAUUCAACGGAUCAUAGGGGGUUCAAUGAUCUUUCUAACUAGGUGAUACUAAGUUCAGUUUUGUUUACUUCCAGUUCUUGGAGGUACGAAACACUAUUGAUCGGCGAACCCUAGGUUAUAGGAUAAGUCGGCUAAAAUCUUUAUACUCUUUUACUCAACCCAUGCAGGCAACGAUGCAUAUAUCAAAGCAAUAAGAUCUGAGUUCGAUUCUAGCCAAUAAAGCCCUAUAAAUAAGUGGUGUGUGCUUGUUAUAACACGAUACUCAUUCGUAAGCUAGGUUCGAGCAUAUUAAGCAACCUUUUGGGUAACGUAAACACUUGAGAUCAGAGUUAGGUCAUGAGGAUAAGUACAUGCAUUAAGGGAAAGCCUAAUAAUAAUGUAAACGAUCAAACAAAACCCUAUGUAUCGUUACCUAAAUGAUCGAUCGGUCCCAAAAGGGACUUCACCACCGGUCACACUCUUUGUGAUCGGUCUCAGAAAAAGCUCCAUUCAAACAGGCACUAAAAACGACCGUUAAUCGUAUAAGUCUAAUUCUAGAUCGCCGCGAUAAUGACUCUUCUAGCUUUUUAUAGAGUCCAAUAUCUCUCAAUUUAGUGCACAGAGAAGUCACCAACGGAUGUAAAACUUUUGGAGCUUCGAAUCUGUCCGGAAACGUGUUUUUGUCCCCUUUUGGUCAUUUUUCUCUUGAAACUCACAAAACCUUCUUGACUCCUAAACUACUUGAAUAUCAUCUCUUUGGCCUUGAAACCACACCAAAUACUUCCUAAAACAUAAGAAAACAAUAGCUAGUACAAGUAAAAAUACGAUGUUAUCAAUGAACCUUCGCCAAACCGUGUUAUCGCUUGCGCCAAAUUGCUCCCUGGCUUUUGUCUCCAACCUUUCAUGGAUUCUUUGUCGAUCUAUACCUUUGUAGCAUUGAAAAUUCCUUUGUAUGAUCCUUAUCUCCUUGGUUCUUUUGAACUUUGGUGUGAUUUGAAUGAAUGAAUCAAAUCUUUGCCAAAUAAUAUAUAUAUAUCAUUUAACGUUCGAACUUAAUUCGCUGUUUUAAUUUUGUUUGUUACAAUCACUUAAAGUUCUUGGAAAAAUGAUCAAACAUCACAAACAGUUUGGAUAACUGAUAUUACAUAUAGACCACGACAUCGUCACACAAUAUCCGAAAUUUAUAAAUGUAUAGUAAAUUAUAGGGUUUUGUGCAAAAAAACCCUCCAACUCGCCCAUUUUUGCAACUGUACCCUCCAUCUCCGAAAAAUGCAGAUUAAUAUAUUAUUUGUAUAUUGUAAACGUUUUUUCGGUCACAUACAUUGGUUUUUUAAAAUUCUAAAAGUAGAGUUGAACUCUUCAUCGCGAGGGCUUCGAUUUGAUAUAUUAUUUGUCAAAAUUUUACGAACUUGACGGUAAUGAAUAAGGGUUAUAUUGCACAUUAUUUGGGACUUCGUAGUAUUAAUCUGCAUUUUUCGAAGAUGAAAGGUAAAGUUGCAAAAAUGGGCGAGUUGGAGGGUUUUUUUGCACAAAACCCUAAAUUAUACCAACUAAAUGUUUCACAUGCCCACAUAUACCUAAUAACGUAUGACAUGGUGCAAACGAUUCUAAGUUUUCUCGAAUCCAAAAAAGACUAGCGUUAAUCAAAAUAAUAUUCAAAAUAUUUAAUUUCAGUUAUAUUUGAUAAAAUGUUAAAAAAAAAACAAAUUAUAAAAAAUUAGAAGUAAAUAAUACAUCCUUCUAAUUUGUAUGUUUGCAUUAUAACUUGCAGAUUAGUUUUCUCAAUAUCCUACCCUCUUAUUAAUGUAAGACUAAAUUAGUUUCAUGGUUUCUGUAGGAGAGUGAUUUAGCACCACCUGGUUAACUCGAGUUGAACCAAAAAUAAACCAGAACUUUGGGCCAUUUCGAAGGCUUGGAUCUAUGGAAAGGCCCACUUAACUCAAAAAUAGAAGGAUCAAGGACGACCUAACAGAAAAUGGAAGAAUUAUUUCGAACAUACAUAAAUAUUGCGAGGGAGAAAAAAAAAAGAAAACAUUUACUCAAAGAAUAUGGAAAGAUAGCAUAUUCGAAGACCUAGGGGAAGGAGUAUAAAAACAAAUUAGCAGCGGACGAGAAAAUGAUCCACAUUUUGCACCUCAAGAACUCUAGAUACGCAACUUGCACGGAAAACCACAACUUGUUACCAAAACUAGUUAUAUCUCUUUGUAAUUUCUGACUUUGUUCUUGAGAUCAAUAAGAAAACGACUUUCUUGAACUCUGAUUCCAUAUUUUUAGUCCUCUGGUUUACCUAUGAUGAUUCUACUUGCAUAAUUUUAGCGCUCUAUGUGGGGACUCAUACAUAAAAGCUCCCUAGAUCUACACUAGGCUAAGACCAACCAAGAAGAAUCGAGAACGAGGACACAUUUUCAGCUGAUAUCGGACAUUAGCAAAGCUACCACAUCUGGCCAAGGAGCACUACCCCCUCCGCAACCGAUGAUCCAAUGAGGACUGAUCUAGCAAACCUCCCAGAGAACAAGGAGGAGAACCUGAACGAGAAUCACGGUGAAGACGACACUUCCUCGGACCAGGAAGAACCGAUCUUACCGAAAGGCAACACCGAAUUGCCCACCUAAAAAAGGAACACUGGUACCAUUGUCACGACAACAGGAAAAGAGACUGUGAAUGAAGAACUCAUGCGCUUCCUCGUCGACCAGUUCGCCCAGCAGGGAGAGAAGAUCGCCAACUAAAGUUGGCCGUUUUGCUCCACUUCUGUGAUCACAAGUGCUAAAGCGGAAAAGCUUGUUAGGGUUUAUGGUGAGUGAACAGAGAGUGAAUCACAGUUGUUGCUGUGUUUGUGAGAUUGGGUAGAUUAGGAAUUGGUCAGUGACGAGUCGUGUUGACUACGUGUAAAACUGAUUAAACUGAUAUGUAAUGAUUGUUUAAGUGGUUUCUAAUAAGAACUGAGGUUCGUCCCAAUUGUUUCUACAUUAUAGUAUUUUUAUUUGGUAUCAAAGCAGGUGACCAACCUGAGUAUAAGCUCAAUACAUGUUAGAUCUUGUGGUUUAAGAAUGUCGACGUCUAAACUUGCUCUACUCUAGAGACCUGUGAUGCUAGAUCACAGACGCUAUGGCUACUGGAAAACAUGGAUGAUGCAGCUAAUCAUAAGACAGGGUGAAGACGACUGGACUGCUGUAGAAAUUGGAUGGGAAGCACCGUUUGUUACAACUGAAGUUGGUUUCAAGGUUAUCAAACCUAAAGCAAACUGGACUACUGAUGAGAAGAAUCUAUCCAAGUUUAAUGCGAGAGCUAUGAAUGUUAUCUACUCCUGUCUUGAUGAGAACGAGUUCAACCUGGUUCAAAGAAGUGAGUCUGCUAAACAUAUGUAGGAUAUUCUGCAAAAAUCAGAUGAGGGGAACAGUAUUGUUAAACGAACUAGGCUAGAUCAACUGGCCAUAGAUUUUGAAAACCUGAAGAUGGAUCCUUCAGAAUUGAUUGUUCAGUUCAUCCAAACUAGGUGGUAUUGCUAACGAAGCAAAGACACUGAGAAAAACGUACAAGGAGAAGAAAUUAGUGAAAAAAUUGUUUCGAUGCCUACCACAGAAGUAUGAUGCACACACAGCUGUCAUGAGGGUAUCAGGUAACACAGAAACCAUAAAGUUUGAAGACCUUGUAGGGAUUUUGAAAUUUGAGGAGAUGGAGGUGGCUGACGAUCAACAAAAUCUCAACAAGGGAAUUGCAUUCAAGGCUGAUGAAGAUAAGUGUAAAGAUCCGCUGCAAGAAAUCAGAGAUAAUCUGGCUCAAAUGACAAAAAAGUUUAUUUGAAGCCUUGAAACGUGUUGAGAAAGGUAUAAACAGAGAUUCAGGAGAUGUUCAGGCCUCUGUCGCUCGAAUAGGUGUGAUACAGAAAAAGUCUAAGAACAGAUUUCAGAAGACUGAUGGUUUAGGCAGGAGACAUGAUUUUCAGUGUCAUGAAUGUGGUGGUUUUGGGCACUAUAAAACUGACUGCCCAGUUGCUAAACGCAAAUAGUUGAAGUGUUCAGAAUGUAAAAGUGUCAGACAUCUAAAGUCUGAAUGCCCAAGUGCACAGAGAGGCAAAGACAAAUCCUACUUGAGUUUAAGUGACUCAGAUUCUGCGAGUGAAGAAAAAGAAGACAGGAUGCUGAAUUUAGUUGCUUUUAGUGCAAAAGGUAAUGUAAGUUCAAGUGAUGAGGAUUUUGAUUCAGAUGAUGAUGGAGAAUUGAUCUCAAGUGACAGUUACCACACUCUAUACGACAGCUGGAUACUGUUGAGCAAUGACAAGUUGCAGCUCACCAAAGAGAACCUGAUGCUUAUGGCAAAUGUGAACAUGUUGGAAGAAGAAGCCAAUGAAGAAAAGGUUGGUGAAAAGCUGCCUUUACUUGAAAAGCAUAUUGUUGAGAAGAAGAUGAAUUGUCUAUAAGAAAGUUAUGAGAAGGAGAAAGAAAAAUCUCUUUUGCUGGAAAGAGAACUAAGUGAGAACAAAAAAAAAAAUCAGAAUGCUGAAUAAUGGUGGUAAGAAUCUAGAUCAGAUUCUGUCCAUGGGAAUUAUUGGAUCAAGCCACAAGACUGGGUUAUCAGCAAUAUGCUUUUAAGUCAUCCUUGGACGUGUCUAAGCCUAUCUACUUUGUGAAGAGUACAACAAGCCAUGAAAAAGAAGCACAAAAAUUGAAAAUAAUUGAGCAAUAGAAGCAGUCUGAGCAACAGAAGGUCUGGACAAAAUCUAGGAAAGGCAAGAGGGUGUAUGUGUGUUUUCACUGUGAAAAGUCUGGCCAUAUCAGAUCCUCUUGUUACAAAUACAAGAACAAAAUAAGACAACUGUGGAAGUCACGAAAAUGCUUCAUUAAUCCCACAAAGUUUGAGAAAGUAUGAGUUGCAAAGCGAGAUCUGUACAAUAAACAUCAGGAGGAUGAUGAGCAGAAUAACAAUCAAGUGUGUGAUGAAUCUAAGGAUAUCAAUCUAUGCUGCAAUCUGACAAUUGUGCAGAAUGAAGAUGAGAACAUCAAAGCUAAUGUUGUUGGAGUUAAUUUUGGUGCCCUAACUCAAUCUGUUAAGGAAAAUGUUUCUCUUAUGAAACCUGCAGUUGCGAGUCAUGGUACAAUUACACCGAGAGUUAGAAGCAGCUCUAUCAGAAAAGUGUAUGAUAACCACUGGCAGAAAUCUGGACCGACAACUCUACACAAUAAUCUGGAGGGAAGAAUGAGUGGAUGUUGAUUUUGUGGUAAAAAUGGUCUUUAUAAAGCUCAUUUGCAACAGGUUCCUGAAUCGAGUUACUCAGGUCAUGCAACAGGAAAAAAUUCACACAGAUGAUCGACGGUUCAAUCAUGUCUGGAUCAAGAAGCGGGAUCUAUAUUGUCAUGGUGCAUACACAACAGGUGAACCAGGUAAUGCAUCAAAAGAAAGACUCUUGAAUUGUGAUAGUGACUGCUCAAGAAAUCAGGGAGGUGUUCAAAGCGAGCGUAAAAAUAUGAAAUAUCUUGGACAUAUGGAUGUUAAACGUUUGGUAAGAUUCAUAAGAUGCUAGAUCGUGGGGGCUAUAACUCAAUCAUCAAAGGGGAGAUUAUUGUCAGUAUAUACGUGAUGAUGUUGAUAUUGAACCGAAUGAGCACAAGCCAUGGAGUUCAUAAGAAGCUAAGGAGAGUCAAGGCCGAAGUUCUCAUGACAAGGCCGAAGAUCUCACCAAGACACGAAGGUGCAAGAUUCGUGUAAAGUCACCAAGACGCCGAAGUGCAAAAUUGGUGUAAACUCAUAAGAAGAGUCAAGGCCGAUGCUCUCAAGACGAGGCCGAAGACGAAACACCAAUGUGCAAAAUUGGUGUCAAAGUUAUCAAGGUAUCAAGACCCAAUGUGCAAAAUUAGUGUCAAAGUUAUCAUGACCUAAUGUGCAUAAUUGGUGUCAAAAGUAUCAAGACCGAGGAUGCAAAAUGGAGUCAACUCAUGAAGACAAGAAUGUGCAAAACUCGGGUCACUUAGUGAUAAUCCAUGUGCAAGAUUGGUGUCACUAAGUGAAGAAGAUAAAGAUGUGCAAAACUAGGGUCAAUGAGCAAAGCGAAGAAGACCCUAGAUUCAAAUCGUUUAAAACGCCAAAAAGGAGUCUCAUGUGGAUAAGGAAGCAAGCAACUUGCAAGGAGGACCACAUGAGGAAUAUGGACGUUGGAGGAGCUGUCACCAUCAUCAAGGACGCUCCUCUCUCUCUCCUAAAGGAGAAAAAGCAACAAGUGGUCCCAAACUCUCUAAGCCACAUCUUGUGGUCGUUUGAAAUAGAGCUGUUGGGGCUAUUUUGUUUUUAAGUGUAUUUUGGUUUUAAGUGAGCAAUUUGAAUGCUCAUAACCGUUGCACAUUAGGGUUUAGAAAGGAUACCUUAUCCCAUUCACCUUUGUAUAAAUAUGUGGGCUAAUGCCUUAAUAAAGUUAAGCUCUCACAAUUGAGAAACAAAAGCUCUCAAUUUGGGAUGUCUUCCCCUUAUACAAAACGUUUCUUUACACACUCAAAUGGGUAGAUUAGGUUGAUAUUAUUCUCAUGGAGAGACCAAGUCUUGGCAAUACUUGGUCUCUACCAUUCUUUCAAUCCAAUUCUCUACCAUUCUCUAAAUCGUUUCUAUAAGGGUAUUUGGGUUUUGUUGGUAUGAGAGAGCUGUUGCUUCUCAUACUUAUUCUUGAGUAUACACAGCCCACAUUGAAGUGUAUAACUCCUAUUUUACCUCAAGAACAGCUCACAUUGAGUUAGUUUCUUGAUGGAUUUACACAUGAACACACAAACCCGAUUUUGGUGUUCUUGUGAUUCUCUUUGAGUGAAGCAUGAACUGCUCACUCUUGAUUUGUCCCAGGCUCAUAACCUGGCCAUAUUCCGCAUAUAUUCUAACAUGGUAUCAGAGCCAUGGUUAGGAGAACCAUGGUUUCAAAGCUACAAAGCAAGGCCCUUGAAGAAGAGACUCACGGGGGAAAGAAGAGGGAAGAGAUACAUGGGAUGUCUUAGAACGAAAUGUUCAAGCAUUUAAAAUCAUGAUGAAUCCAAAAGGCCUCUUCAAUUCACGUUUAAGAAGAUCUCUCAAGGGAUGAAGAAAAAGAAGCCACAAAGAAGAUGGCGAUUUGAAGCUGUUCUUGAAGCUCUUGAAGUAGAUCAUGAAGACUGCUCAUUUUGGAGUUAUCAAGGCAGUUUGGAGCAGAUCUUGAAGCCCACGAAGUAGAUAACAAAGACUGCUCGUUUUGGAGUUCACAAGGCUGCUCACACACCCCACAUUCUCCCAAUCUCACCUCAAGAAAACAAAGCUAAGAACUUUGUCCAUUGGCACUCUUGAGUCCAUACUCUUUAUACUCUCAUACUUGGUUACUUAAUCUCUUAUUCUUGGUAACAUACACUUUAUUUUUUGUCAUUAAUUCUCAGGCUUAUGCCUUCCAUCUCUUCUUGAUGAGUUUGCCAAGAAGAAAUGGCGAUUUGGAGCAGCCCUUGAAGCAUAAGAAGCGGUCAUGAAAGAAGCCUUAAAAGCCUAGUCUUGAAGUUGUUCUAUGAAGGGAUAAUGAGGAAGGAUUAGCUUUAAGAGCUAAGUGGCUGACUUGGUGCUAUCAAAAGGCACCCAAAAGUGUUCUAUAAUUCUCAAGCUUCAAAGGAAGCUAAAAGGAUUUAAAGAAGCACAAGAAGAGGCGGAAAUAGAGCCCCAAUCGGUUGUGCAACCGAUCGGACAAACCGAUUGGAAGAGCAGUGAGGUUCCGAUCGGUUGUGCAACCGAUCGGGAUAACCGAGCGGCAAAACUCGGGUUUCGUACUAAUGGCCUCCGAUCGGUUCUGCAACCGAUCGGGAUAACCGAUCGCCACGUCUGUGUACUCAAAGAUGAGUACUUCUCGCCCAUCUCCGAAUCUAGCUCGUCCCGGGGAAAAUGUUCCUCGACCAUUCUUCAUAAAAUGGAGGGUUGAGCGACAAAAUUUCAAUAUGGGUCGAGGAAAUAUGUCAUUUGACCGAAGGAAGUGAAGAUAGGGCAUUCCGAGAAGGCUCUCGUCGGACUCCGACAAAUUAGCUCGACCGUUUUCAAAAUUGUCUCGACCAAACAUCAUGAAAUACCCAUAAGUACGGUGAAUCUCGAAGAUGGUACGGGGAAUUAUGAGUUUGGGUCGAAGAAAUUGAAGAGGUCUUGAUCCAGCACAUGAAGGGGCUAAUACGAAGACGAACUCAAACCUAGUCUAUCUCAAGGCUGACCCAAGAGGAAGAUCCAUGAAGAUGAACCCAAGAGGCAGACCAAAGAAGAAGACUAAGGUGUGACAAGUGAAGGCUACUCGGCAUACAACCCGAGUUAGAUAACCUAUGGAGAAGAAGAGGUGGAUGAAGACCAAGAAGACACCAACCAUAAAGAGAGAGACCUAUGAAGGCUGAAGCUCAAAUGGUGGUGCAAAGAGUCUCAUCCAACCCAUACAACAAUGAAGACAAAAGGCUAUCUCUAAAUCCUUACUCUUUCAUUGUUAUUUUUCAUAUCAAUGCUCAUUUAGAAAUGCAUAAUUUGAUCAUAUAGAUAGACUUCCUUAUUGAAAUGAAUCCGCAUGAUUAGCUUACAAAUGAAGUUGUCAUUUAAAUAUUUAAGCAUAAUUUUAGAGUGGAUUAGGAGUCAUCAUUUGAUUAGAAUUGUGUAAGUACUUGAAUUGAAUUGUCAUGAUUAAAAUCUGAAAUUUAAUUGGUCAUUUGCAUUGGUAUUGAAUUUAAAUAAACCGGAUUUAUAGCAUGAUUAAUCUUGAAUUUGAAUGUUAAAAUCCGAGUUUUAUUGGUUGAUUAAAUGGACUUAGUCUUUGAAAAGCUAGUUCAUUUUAAUAUUGUUAACUCUAUCUUACUCAUACUAAGCUUAAAUUCUUAUGGCAUAUACUUAAGAUUCUUUACAUCUCUUUAUUGAAGGUGUAAAAGAGAAGAGAGCCAUUUUGGAGGCUAGAUGAGAAGAAGAGAACCGGUUGAAGAUUGGAAGCUAUGGCAUGUCAAGAGGAGAAGCAAAGGCGAUUGAUCGCUUGACUCAUUAAAGAAGAUCAAUUCAUGGUGGUGGCCGAAAGGGGGAGUUCCUUAAGCGAGUUCAUACACGGAGAAUUGAAGUCUCAACAAGAAGUCAAAGCAAGAGCCAAGCAAUCCGAUUCAUACCAUGACCAUAGCUACAUCAUUCAACCAUGAAGACUACACUCUUUUUCCCUUAAGCAAAGUUUUAUCCCAAGUGGUUUUCUUUGCUAAGGUUUUUAACGAGGUAGUUCUUUGUGUGUUGCAAGCUUGGUCCUUGGUCCCCGCCGAUCAAGCUUGAGGGGGAGUGUUAAGAAGAAAAGGCUAACCCGAAGCCUAAGGCCGAAAGUCUACAAGACGAGGCCAAGUUGGUGUGGUUCAAGGAAGCAUGACUUGACCACGCUCAUAAAUUCAAGCUUUAACCUUCGUCCCUUAUGGUUAAAGCUUGAGGGGGAGUAUUGAACCGAAUGAGCACAAGCCAUGGAGUUCAUAAGAAGCUAAGGAGAGUCAAGGCCGAAGUUCUCAUGACAAGGCCGAAGAUCUCACCAAGACACGAAGGUGCAAGAUUCGUGUAAAGUCACCAAGACGCCGAAGUGCAAAAUUGGUGUAAACUCAUAAGAAGAGUCAAGGCCGAUGCUCUCAAGACGAGGCCGAAGACGAAACACCAAUGUGCAAAAUUGGUGUCAAAGUUAUCAAGGUAUCAAGACCCAAUGUGCAAAAUUAGUGUCAAAGUUAUCAUGACCUAAUGUGCAUAAUUGGUGUCAAAAGUAUCAAGACCGAGGAUGCAAAAUGGAGUCAACUCAUGAAGAUAAGAAUGUGCAAAACUCGGAUCACUUAGUGAUAAUCCAUGUGCAAGAUUGGUGUCAGUAAGUGAAGAAGAUAAAGAUGUGCAAAACUAGGGUCAAUGAGCAAAGCGAAGAAGACCCUAGAUUCAAAUCGUUUAAAGCGCCAAAAAGGAGUCUCAUGUGGAUAAGGAAGCAAGCAACUUGCAAGGAGGACCACAUGAGGAAUAUGAACGUUGGAGGAGCUGUCACCAUCAUCAAGGACGCUCCUCUCUCUCUCCUAAAGGAGAAAAAGCAACAAGUGGUCCCAAACUCUCUAAGCCACAUCUUGUGGUCGUUUGAAAUAGAGCCGUUGGGGCUAUUUUGUUUUUAAGUGUAUUUUGGUUUUAAGUGAGCAAUUUGAAUGCUCAUAACCGUUGCACAUUAGGGUUUAGAAAGGAUACCUUAUCCCAUUCACCUUUGUAUAAAUAUGUGGGCUAAUGCCUUAAUAAAGUUAAGCUCUCACAAUUGAGAAACAAAAGCUCUCAAUUUGGGAUGUCUUCCCCUUAUACAAAACGUUUCUUUACACACUCAAAUGGGUAGAUUAGGUUGAUAUUAUUCUCAUGGAGAGACCAAGUCUUGGCAAUACUUGGUCUCUACCAUUCUUUCAAUCCAAUUCUCUACCAUUCUCUAAAUCGUUUCUAUAAGGGUAUUUGGGUUUUGUUGGUAUGAGAGAGCUGUUGCUUCUUAUACUUAUUCUUGAGUAUACACAGUCCACAUUGAAGUGUAUAACUCCUAUUUUACCUCAAGAACAGCUCACAUUGAGUUAGUUUCUUGAUGGAUUUACACAUGAACACACAAACCCGAUUUUGGUGUUCUUGUGAUUCUCUUUGAGUGAAGCAUGAGCUGCUCACUCUUGAUUUGUCCCAGGCUCAUAACCUGGCCAUAUUCCGCAUAUAUUCUAACAGUUGAGUUGUAUAGCGCUGUUGGAACAGAUUUCUACUGAUAAUUAAAGAUCAUCAAAGUGCAAAUUACAAGAGUGUGUGUGUGGUACAAGCGAUGAUACAGACUGCACUGAAACAGAGGAAGAUCACGUCUACAAGCUGAAGAAGGCAUUAUAUGGAUAGAAGGUUGAUGUUGUCAAGUGCUUAAUGACUAUGGUUGGUUAUGGUUGUUGUUGUACCUUCUGGUUGUUUUUAUCUGCUUGUGCACUCAAGCAAGGGAGAAUAGUGUGUCCUGGUGCACGGGACAAUACUGUGAUCAGGUCAGGGGGAGAAUACAGUAACUUGGCCUUACAUUGAUUGCCCAUGAUGGACGAGAGUACUUGGAGCUUGAGUUGUCACACUUAGAUAAAAAGGAGGAGAUUGUAAGUACCUUCAGAACACAAAAGACUGAUCUGUUAUCAAGAGUAUGUUGGAUCAACAAGAGUCAGUCGAGCACAGAGGGGUGAACUAUAACCAGGUGUCUGUUGGAGCAACAAGCACUUGUGGAGCACGGAGGAGUAACGUUUAUGGAAAGCAGCAAUCAUGGAAUAAAGAUGACGUGACGAGCUGCUAUUGGAGAUAUGAUUUAAUGGCGUAUCUUUCAGGAUAUUGAUAAAUCAAGAAAUAGAAGAUUUGAUGAUAUCUAGAAUAUGGAAACAAGAUAUUGACGAAUCAAGAAAUAGAAGAUUCGGAGAUAUCUAGAAUAUGAAAACUAGGUCAGCCACGUGGUGUGGUUUGACCUAUAUAAGGCGGUCUAAGCGUUAGGCUUAGGUUGGCCGUUUUGCUCCACUUCUGUGAAUCACAAGUGCUAAAGCGGAAAAGCUUGUUAGAGUUUAUGGUGAGUGCACAGAGAGUGAAUCACAGAUGUUGCUGUGUUUGUGAGAUUGGGUAGAUUAAGAAUUGGUCAGUGACGAGUCGUGUUGACUGCAUGUAAAACUGAUUAAACAGAUCUGUAAGGAUUGUUUAAGUGGUUUCUAAUAAGCACUGAGGUUCGUCCCAAUUGUGUCUACAUUCUAGUAUUUUCACUUCAUUCUUCGGAUCUGAGCGACAGCGACUCUGUUCUCGGUGGCUUGGUCACUCUCUCAUCUCUCCUGCUUCAUCCUUGUUUUAGAAUGGUCUAAUCAUUGGUUUAGGCUGGAUCUAUGGAUUUAAAGGUUUCUAAUCUACGGGUUGUGGUACGGUCUUAUCAUGCAAUCCGGUAUUAGGUCCUUUAUGGCCUCUUUUCUUUGAUUUAGUUGUUUGCCCGGUUGACUUGUGCUCUUCGGAAAUGUGUCUUGGUAUUUGCUUGUGGUUCGUCUCUUUUUGCCCUUCCAUGGUGUAUAUAGGCUGAGUUUUCUUUCGGUUUCCUCAUUUUGCAAAUCGCAGAUGGUUCAGUUCACCCAUUUAUUUGGGUUUCCUCUGGUUUUGCUAGAAGUUUUGUUUGGUCGUCUUCAUCUCACGGUCAGUAGGAUCCUUUGUCAGGUUCUCUAAGUUUAAUUAAUUGUGAUCUUGGACUGAAAGAGUUCAGCAAGUGCGUUCCAUCAUCCUUCGUGAAAUUCUUUGUCAAGUGCCGCUAUUCGAUCUUCUUUACCUCACCAAUUUCGUUGUUCUCAUGUCUAGAGUUUAAUUGGGAUUAAUCCAUUUGAGGGUUUCCCUUGUUUUUGUAGAUUAUAAUUAUAUUCGUUUUUCGUCUUAAGUUUCUCUCGUAUUCCACCCUUGUAUUUUACAAUCGUAUAAUAUAACAGAAAAAUUCUAGAUGAAAAAAAGGAAAGGAAUUACCAUUUUUUUGUGGAAAGGAAUUGCCAACUCUUUUUUUUUAUUACUUCACCAAAAAUUGGUUCGUGAGAUUCUAGUUUGAGAUAACUGGGUCAGAGACGUUAUUAGGAGAGCAAAUUAGUUUUUUGGUAAACUGACAAACGGUCCAUAACAACACUAAUAUUUAGCCCCUAUUGUGCCCAAUUUUAACCCUACUCGCUUCUGAUAUUUAGACUUUGAAUCGGUCCAUUGCGUGAGACAAAUGAAUUGAUGUUUGUUAUGGAUGUCCAAAUUAUUCUAUAAAUCUAUAUAUAUAUAUCUUGCAUGUUGUCUCCUCCGUCGAUCAGAUUGAAUAUCUAAUAAAUAUUUUUUGUUACAUGUAUACAAAUGUUAAUAACGGUCUAUAUACAUGUUUUUAUGUAUACAAAUGUUAAUAACGCUCCAUGUACGUAUUUAUAUGUAUAGAAAUGAUAAUAAUGUUCCAUGUACGUGUUUACAUAUAUAUAAAUGCUAAUAUCGCUCUAUACAUAUAUAUAUUUACAUGUACACAUAGACCGCACUAUUUACAACCAUUAUUAUUUCUAACGCUUUAUGUAUAUGUUUAUCUGUAUACAAAUAUCAAAAUCGUGUAAAAUAUUCAUUGGGUGUCAAUGCAACUAGAUUGGUUGUUUAAAAAAUUAAAAAAAAAAACUAUUUAUUGAGCGUCAAUACAACUAUGUUAGUUGUCUAUAUUCAAAUUUGAUUUAGCUCAAAUUAAAAUAUGUUGCAUUUAUUAACGAUUACUUUGUUCUUUUUGUCUACACGACAAUGUCAGUUCAACUGAAAGCAUUUAUUAUUUGCAGAUUCUUCCUUCGACUCUCUUAAGAGGCAUCAACUUUCACCACGCGCAUGCUCAAACGCAACUCUGGUAUUUUCGUUAUUAAAUGGAACUUUAAACCUAUUCAUAUUUUUUUUUUCAGCUUGUCUCUGACGAUUUCUACUGUUUUUUACCUAAUUUUCUCUCUCAAUAACUAAUUCACCCAUUUAGUUUCAUAACUCAAAAAAUCAUUUGUGCAGUCGCUGGGUGUCUUGUAAAAAAAAAAAGUAAGAUUUUAAAGGAAGACAAAAAAAAAAAAAAACGGACAGGACUAUUGCCGGUUCAUAAUUGAACCGGUUGCUCCAAAAAAAUAGAAGGUAAAACCGGAACAGUAGAUAACCGGAAACUGAAGAAACCCUAACUAUAUAUAUAAACUCAUCAUCCUCUUCCUCCAUCUUCGUUUUUUUCUCAUCUCCAAACACUCAAAGCUUGUAGCUUCUUGCUCCUCAAAUCUUCUUGGUAACUCUUCUUUCCAUGUCUCUGAAUCGAUUUCCUUUUGUUUAAUUCAAUUUCUGAGUAGUUUGAUUUGGUUUUGGCUGUGUAUUAAAAGCAGAAAAUGAAGGUUGCCGCUGCUUUUCUCCUCGCUGUUUUGGGCGGAAACGCUAAUCCUUGUGCUGAGAAUAUCAAAGAUAUUAUCGGAGCUGGUAAGUUUUUGUGUUUUGAAUGAUUAGAUUGUGUUACUGUGAAUGUCUAAGUAGCAAUUAUGAUUUGGGAAGAUUCUGCAUUUGCUUUGUUUUAGCAAUGAUUAGUGGAUCUAGAGGUAAAGAUUUGUUAGUGCUUAUCAAAGUAUUGUGAUGUUUAAUAGUAAGAGUUUCUGAUCAAGAGAAUAUAAUUUUGUUCAUGUAUAUAUGAGUCUUUGUUUUGUCAUAUAUGAUUUAUGGGGUUUGUUGUGUUCUGUUGUGUUGUGAGAUAUGAAUUCAAUGGGUGUUGUGUUUUGUUUUGUAGUUGGUGCUGAUGUUGAUGGAGAAAGCAUUGAGCUUCUUUUGAAAGAAGUGAGUGGUAAGGAUAUUGCUGAGCUGAUUGCUUCUGGUAGGGAGAAGUUGGCGUCUGUGCCAUCUGGUGGUGGUGGCGCUGUUUCAGCUGCUCUGUCAAGUGGUGGUGGUGGUGCUCCUGCAGCUGUGGAGAAGAAAGAAGCUAAGAAGGAAGAGAAAGAAGAGUCCGAUGAUGUAAGAGUUUGUUUCUUGUUUUAGCAUUUUGGUUUCCUUCUUACUCUUUUGCUCAUGAAUAUCUGACUCUGUUUGUUAUAUUCCUUUACUUUGAUGCAGGACAUGGGAUUCAGUCUCUUCGAGUAAGAUUUUCGUCCCACGGAAAUUAGUCGGAGAUUUGAUUUUUUGUUCUCUUAGUGGAUCUGGUUUUUGCUCCUCUCUUGUAGUUCGGUGUUAUGAAAGAUUCUUGGAUUACGAAUUUUACUCAGUUAAUGAAGCAAGAAGAGUUUUUCUACUAUCUUAUGGGUUCUUACAUUUAGGAUUUUGAAUAUAAACCUCAUGCAAAAGUUAAUCUUUACGAAGGUUAAAAAUGUAUUUGGAAUCCCAAAUAAACAGAAAAAUCAAGAUCAAAGUGAAAUUUAGAUAUUGUGAUACUUCACUAAAGAAACUUGAUAAAUUAGAAGAAAGUAAAUCAAACUCUACUAGAAGAAAAUAAUCGGAAUUGAAGUAACAUUAGAAGUUGCAAUCUUUGUUCACUAAGCAUUCGCAUAAAGUUGUUUGACAAAAAAAAAAUGAUCACUAGUAUCAAGAAGAUGAUGCCACCAACUUAAUCUAAUCUGCUCGGGCACAACAAACAUAUCCCACAGUUCGAUCCAUCUCUACCAACUUCCCAUCACAUAACCAAUCAUGGUUCAUGGGGUAUGGAUCAGCAACGAUUGUUCACUAUCUUUGAGACAACAGCAAAGAUGCUAAGAUUUCGGAACAGUGACAUUAAGUAUCUUAACAUCUUGGUAAGGUCUGUCGUUCUUGUCUGUCUUCACUUUCUCUAUACCCUGUUUAUUUGAUUUUAUGGUUAGACACAGAGUCACAUUAAGCCAACAAGUAAAAAAAAAAAAAUUUGGUUUUCAAAUCAUACUUGCACGACGUCCAUUCCCUUCACAACUCUUCCAAAAACAGUGUGCUUAUUGUCUAGCCACGGCGUAGCCACCGUUGUGAUAAAGAAUUGAGACCCAUUUGUGUUUGGGCCAGCAUUUGCCAUAGACAAUGUGAACGGCCUGUCAUGCCGUAGACUGCAGGCCAAAAAGAAACAUAACACAAACUAAGUUACAUUUCAUUCGUUUCUAAAGGAUGGCUAAACUCAAAGCAGGCGUGGCACUAAGAAAUGUUUACCUUUUGUGAAACUCGUCUUCAAAUUCUCUGCCCCAAAUUGACUGUCCUCCAGUACCAUCCCCAAGAGGAUCUCCAGUCUGUAUCAUAAAUCCUCUGAUAACCCGAUGGAAAAGGUGGUUAUCGUAAUAGCCAUUUCUACAGUGUGUUGUGAAAUUCUCCACAGUUUUGGGACAUUCUUCUGGGUAAAGCUUCAUGUGAAUGUCGCCCAACGUAGUAUGCAUGAUCUGGAUAAUUAGGAGUUAAAAGAAUUAUUGUGUUAAAGAUUCAAAUUACAGACUAUGUAAUGAUUUAUAAAAUAGAUGCAAAUAUAGUGGGUUAUGAAAACAUACCACGUUCUCCGGAAGAGAUGUUGUGGCUGAGUUUCCAAUAUCAGAGGCAGCCAUAAGUUCAUCAGCAGCAGGCUUCUCGUUGAACACAUCUCUCCCUUGGCUUGCAUCUUCAGGUUCUUCUGGCUCUCUCCGACUGCAGAAACCAAUUUAUUGAUAAUAAAAUUCAAAGUGGGUCUUGGCAAUAUCAAGGUAUCUCUAGGGAUAUCUAGAGAAAACAUAAGAGGCCUUUCUACAAAGUAGAAUCUAAAGAUGUGAAAACAGAUUCUCUCCCCGGCAACAUAAACAUGAGUCAUUUUAGCACGAUAUGAGUCAUGUACCUGAACAUAUAGAUCCUGUGUUUCUUGAAGGCACAGCAUAGGAUAGUCGGAUCAGUCAAAGGCUCUUUGCUUUCAUUUACAUUUGCUGCGGCUGCUGGAAUCUUUCUAACUUUCUUGCCUCCUUGAUCACCUUGAUAUAAUGCAACUCUCAGAUACCUUUCAUUACUCUCCACCUUUCCAAGGAUCCUUGCAACUGUGUUGGUGUGUAAAUUUAUUAUCUAGAGAACAAAAGGGUUAACAGAGAAAUUAGCAGUUGCUUGUUAUGAUUCCAUUUACUACGCAUGGAAGAGUUCUGAAACAAUCAAACUAUAGAAACUGGUUCGCUUUUACAUAAUGAUAUUAUGAUAUUCUGGAAAUACAUAGAUAUUGAGGGAUUGUGAUAAUGGAGCUCCUCCCACUCCCCCUUAGACACCCAAAUUUACGAUAAAAUCCUAAGCUUCUUUCCUCUUCAUACACUAUAUUGGCAGAGAGCAUAACCACUUUAAUAUAUGGUACAAAGAAGUAACCACAUUAAAUCUUGGUUACUUUAUCACCUAAGUAAAGGCUAGCCAGUGGUGAAAGGCCCAGGUCUUUAAGCUCGUUAAUUGUCUCAUGUGUAUGUGAGACAGGAUACUUAUCAUGUCUAGACUGAAAUGCUAGUCUAUGGUAAUUUAAACAGAAAACAAUAAUAAGUGGAUCCCUUACUUUUAUUCCAAGAAGAGUGGCGUAUAUAAGGAAAUUAGAGCUUUCAUCAAACACAGCAUUGGGCUGCGGAGCAUUCUCGGUUUUUUCAAGUUCCUUCUCAACUGCCAUUCUUCUACCAAAGUCAAUAGCUUCAAGCCUGUAUAAUGGAGCAUCACUCCUCUGCAGAUCUUGGGCCACCUAAUAGUGGAAUGGAUCAUUAAAUCAUGAAAGAUUAAUGUGAAAACAUGUAAGGAAAGAAGCAUAGAAUAUGUAACCUUACCUCAAGUGACUCAUCAUAUACCCGCCUAAGUUUACCAGUUCUAAACCAGAACACGCGAAUCCUACGAUCAGGAGAUGUAAUGGAAAACUGUCUACCAUCUGGACUCACCUGAAAUUAAUUUCACUAAAUUUAUAGACCAAAACUUGCACUAUGAUUUUCACCGGACAUAUCAAUUGCUAAUAGCUGCAUUCUAAGCAUGGAAAGAAAAACCAAAGAUACUAAAUGUCACAUAAGUACCUCAAUGGCAGAGAUUGUUGUUUUGCACUUUAUAAUCUCAAAGAGAUUUGUAUCACUCUUCAGUUUAAAGUUUACCCUACAACAAAAAGUAAAAGGUCAACCUGUGAACCAUAAAUGAAAGCAGCCCAUCAACUACACUCAGAUUCUAAAGAUGUUCAAAUAAGAAGUUGGCAACUAAAGUAUUUCUACUACAGGCUCCUCUUUGCAUCAUUCUCAGUAAUAUGAUAUUAAACUACAAUAGCCACACACAGAAAAACAGGUACGCUCCUCUUACCCUAGAGGCUACAAGCCUACAACUAAUACUCUAAUAGAAAACAAACAGCAAUACCGAAAUGGAAAUAAUAAAAGCGUUUUUGAUAAGAAGUGAGACAAGUACAUACUGAUCCUCGGGAAACUGCAAUGUAGCUGGACUCCAGUACUCAAUGAUUCCUUUUGUGUCACCAGAGAUCAUUGUGUCCGAAACAGGAUUGUACUUCAUGAUCUUAAUUGGAUUCAUAUGUAUCUGGGCAUACAAAGAUUAAAACACCGUUUUAGCUUUGUAAAAUAUGACGAGUCAAGAAAUAGCAACAAAGAAAAACAGAUGAACACAAACCUCUUUUGAAGCAAUGGGUUCGUUGGAACCAGAACGGGGAUCAUAAAUGUGCACAAACGAAGAGUCUCGGUCACUGACAGCAAGUUUAGCUUUGACAUCUCCUUGUUUGUAGACCCACUCAACAGCACCAGGAAUAUACGGCAAACGGAUCAUGGCCAUCAUGUCGUAGUUGACAACAUCAUAUAUUUUAACAGCAUGAUCAUUUGAGAUUGUACAGCAAAGCAAACCAUCAAUGCUAACCUGCAUUGCUGAAACGGGUCAUGGUUGAUAACAGAACUAGAAACAAACACAAAAAUUGCGGAAACAAUAACAUAUCUAACAAUAAUUUCCCCACACAUCGAACAAUCUUCAUUCAAUAAAUAAAGAAAAGGCUAAUCUUUCAAACAUGGAGGAGCAUAUGCCUGGAUUUGAGGUGACAGUAUCUUAAAUCCAAAAAAAAAGAGUUCACAUUAAAAAUCACUGGCGAUACUUACCGCCAGACCUUCAAUUGGACCGAGAUGGGAGCGGAAAUGCUUAGCAAACUCGAUACCUACACCCUUUUUCUUCCAAAAUUUCAAGUGACCUAGGUUAUGAAAAAUAAUAUAUAUGUUAUGCUUCGACAUUACAAAACCAGAACGAAAUCAUAAAUAUCACAAAGAUGAGAAACAUUACCAUCCAUGCUUCCACUGAUAAAGAAAUCAGCUGCUGAAACAGCAACAUGUGUAACUACAUCCCGAUGCAUAUAACUUUUCUCAUACCUAGAGAAAAAGAUACAAGAGUUCACUUUUCCAGACCAAUUCACAGAUAAUAAGCUCACAAAUUCCAACAAAAAUACUAAACCAAUAAGCUCAAGUUGAAGCAGUAGGUUAUGGAGAAGAAGUACCAAUUCUUUGAACGUAAAACCCUAAACCCCAAAAACUUGAUUAAUGAGGAACAGAGAAAGUUCCAAAGGCACAAGAAAUACUUACAUAUUAGCAGAAGGAAGCGAAUCAAGAUAAGCUUGCUCGAAUUGAAGCGGACGCUUGCGUUUGCCUCGUGGAGCUGGUCCAGGUCCGACCAUCGCCUCCUCCUCUUCCACUUCAAGCGGCACUGCAACCACCGCCAAUUCUUCAGUCGGAAUCGUGGUUCCACCAUUCUUCGAUUCUUCCUCCAUUGAUUUCUACUCUCUUCCUCAACUCAAAAACCUCGUCGUCGAUUGAAAGCAAGGUUGCUACAACUUCGAAUUUUGAGAGAGAGACAGUGAGUGAAAUAAAAAAAAAAGAGAGAAGAGAAGUAGAUUCAUGAACUAAAUAUAACGAUUGGGCCUUUAAGGCCCAUAUAUAUUUAUGAACCUAGCCCAAUUGGGUAUUUGCAAAACUUUGAGCUCCUAAUUCAUUCAACUCCGGUUUAUAUAGACCAUGUCUGAUGUCCGUCUCCAUCUUUUCUGUUUACCGUUAUCUCACUUGUAGCUUCCUUGUAUUAUAUAUUCAUUGCCAAUUCGUUUAAGACAAGACAAAAAAAAAAAAACCAUGAAACUUGUGUUUAGUUUCGCAUUGGUGAGCUGAUUUUUCCUUUGACACUAGUUUCUUGUUGGAUCUUUGAUGCCGCCCUUUGAUCGAUUCUUGGUUGAAUUUUUGUUUUUUGUUGUUGUUUAUUGUAGAGUGUAGACUCAAGAAGUACCCCGAGGUACAUAAACAAACUUCAGAAUGUAUUGGAGCUCUUAUUACAGAUUCAUGAAGUUUCUUUAUAGAUCUGAUAAUUUUUUAAUAUAGAUUAUGAAAAUUGUGAUAUGAGGAGGAUUUAACAUAAGAAAUAUCCAAAGUUUUCUUCUUCAGACAAAAAUUUAUGUACACACAUAUUGUGACUUCAUGAAUUGAACUAAACAAAACUGUUAAGACGGUUUAGAUUGGUUUAGGUUCUAGAAGGUUCUAGAACUUGCCUAUAUCAAUUAUGUAAAGAAUAUAUGUGUAUUAGGAUACUUAACAAGAACACAACCAAUACCACCAGAGUGGUGAUAAUCACAACAAGUAAAUAAGACAAAAUCUUAUCACUUACAUUAUCUGCUAUUGGUUGUUCUUCUUUGUCUUUGGACUCUCAUUCUCCAUAUGUUUCCCGGUCAACCUCGGUUUCAGUGUUUGUCUUUAUCAGGGAGUUGGAGUACACCGCCUUCUCCUAUACCCCAUUUGUCAGAUUCGAUGCCAAACUUAAAGACAAUUUCGGUGAAAGCUGCCUUUGUUUCAACUUCUAUUAUGUACAAAUGCUCUGUUAAAAGGACAGGUAGAUACUUAUUCGCUGCUUCCUCCAUCUUUUUUCCAUCACCAGCUCUAACAACACCCUUAUCAACUAGCAAGACGCAAGCCUUAAACCUCCAGGUUGUAGAAAGCGGCCAUUGAUUAAAUUUCACUGUCAUGGAACUUCCGUUAGUAGCUCGGUAAGUAAAGUAUGCAGGCACUUCUCGACCAGGUAAGAAUGCACGUUUACUACUUGUCUGAAUGAUGAGUUCCCUCGCUUCUUUAUUCAGUUUCAAGCAGUUUGUAAAGUCAACGGAAAAUCUCUGGAUUGUGAAAAGAGCAAUCUAGUAUCUCUAGAGACUCACAAUUACUAGCGUCAAGGUAUGAUAAGGAAUCUGGAAUAUGUGAUAGUGAUACCAACUUCUUGCAUUUGUCGAGCAUAAGUCCCCAAAGACGAUAGUUUCUCUUGACCCAUGGAUGAAUUUCUUGUACUUCUGUAUUGUCCAAGUAUAGUGUUGUGAUGAUGUCAAGAGCAUGUGGGUAGUUUUUGAGGUUUUCGCUAUAUGACAUUUCCAAGCAAUCAAGACGGGACCAUGACUUGAUCGACAAAGGCACUUCUUUUACCGCGGUUCCUUUGAGUUCGAGAUACUUGAUGUUUGUGGAGAUCUCAGGAAAAAGUUUCAAACGAGAGCAAUCAAUGAGAUCAAGUUUUUCUAGAGACUCCAAGUUGAUGUUGAUUGGAAGAACUUCUAGCUUCAAGCAUCCUUUCAAAGUCAAGUAGAGCAAUUUAUGAAGGUUUCCUAUAGAGGGCAGCUUCACCAGACCAGUGCACAUAUCAAGAGACAAAAGAUAGAGAUUAGUGGCAUUUCCAAUAGAGUAAGGGAGCUCCACAAGACCAGUGCACCUAUCAAGAUACAAAUUCUUGAGAUUAGUGAAAUUUCCAAGAGAGUUGGGGAGCUCUACCAGACUUGAGCAGCCUACGAGACUCAAGUGCAAGAGAUUAGUAGCAUUCUCGAUAGAGGAAGGAAGCAUUACUAGACUUGAGCAUCCGAAAAGAAUCAAUCUUUGGAGAUUAAUGACAUUCUCAAUAGAGAAAAGAAGCUCCACCAAACUCGAGCACUCAGUAAGAACCACUUCACGAAGAUUAGUAGCAGUUGAGAGAUCAGGAAGCUUUUUCAGGUCUUUGGAAUAACUAAAAUCAAUCCACUUGAGAUUUCUAAGCGGCUGUACGAACAAAUAAAGGCAACAUAGAAGAACAUAUUUAGUAGCAAAGAAAAUUAAGAAGCUUCCAAAAAAAAAUAACCACACGAAAGAAAACUAAAUUUAAAAACUGGAGACAGAAACAUAACAGCUACAUACCCGAUUACUUUCCCACAACUUAUGAAGUUUGUUGUACCGCAUCUUUAGUUUGACAAGGUACUCCGUAUGAAAAUUUGAAGGCAAACAUGUCAACGGGAAACGUUCCCAUUCUAGUAAUCUCAGUUUUCGAGAAAGAUACUUCAAACCUUGCGGUAAGUAUAAUUUAUCGCUCUGGUCACCAUAUGCAUAGUGGAAUCUUAAGAAUUUAAGAUUAGACAUUCUAUUGAAGGCUCCCUCACAAACAUUUAACUUGUCCUCUAUAUCAGAUAAGUUUAGAUCUAUGCCUAAAACAUUUCUACUACCCUGAAAGAAACAAAUGAAAUAAGAUAGAAACUAUUAGUUCUCAGAUAAAUUAAAUUUAUAGGGAGCAUUGCAAUGAACGAUAAAUGUCAAAAGUCAAAACCUACAGCUGUAUCAUCAGUCAGUACGUCACAAACAUCUUUAGCAUCAACCAAAAACUGACGUUGCCCAGGCUCACGAAUGGACCGUUGCCCAAGCUCACGGCGAACGAUUUCUCUACCCAACUGUACUAGCAGAUUAUGCAUCUCUAUCCUCUCAUCGUCACUGAAUAUGAAUGAUUUUUCAGCUAAAAUAUGAUGGAUGUGCUUCACAUCCAAAAAAUCCUUUGCAAGAAUUGCUUCUAGUAUCUCUGUCGACUCCUCGUUAAAAAAGCAGGCUAUAUGAAGAAAUAAAUCUUUCUCUACGUUAUCUAAGGCAUCGUAACUGAACUUUAAAUGCUCUCAAUCUCUCCAUCAAGGCGAACCUUUAACCUUGGAAGUGUAUUUGUCCACUCCUGCUUAGACAUCCCCCGAAAAUAAGAUCCCAUAACCCUUAGUCCUAAAGGAAGUUGACCUAAACGAAGUGUAACUUUCCAUGCAAGCUCCUCGAAAUCUUCUUUAGGAAACUUUUGAUCAAAAGCAUACAUACAAAAGAUUUGACAAGCUUCAUAUGGUGAUGGAUAAUCCACUUUGUAAAUAUGGUUGAUGCCAUAUUCCUUCAAAAGCUUUUUAUCUUGUGUUGUGAUGAUAAUACGACUUCCAGGACCAAACCACCUAAUUUCUUUUGCAAUAGCAUCUAGGUAUAUUGACCGGUCGAUGUUAUCAAGAACAACAAUCACUUUCUUGUUUUGCAACAUGUAUUGUGCAACUCCUAAAUGAGGAAUCUCGAUAUCCUUGUGGUUGAUAAUCUAGGACACAAACUGUUUCUGUUAGUGCAUCUUUGCACUGUAGUUAUCAGAACACAAUGGUCUUGCAUACAUGUAUCCUUUGAUAUCCUCCAUAAAAGCACUCAAUUCAAAACUGUCGGAUAACUGUUUAAAUAAGAAUCUCGCAAUGGUGGUCUUACCUAUCCCAGGAGGACCCCAAAUUCCUACCAUCCUCACUUCAUCUGAGUCUAAACAUAACUUCGAUUCCAAAUUUUCCAUAUGAGCUCUCAUCCCAACAAAACUAUCAAAAUCACUUGAUGGCGUUGAAUUAUUCAACAUGUUCAAAAUAUCGAUGACAAUUUUUUCAAUCAUGGCGGCUUCAUUAUACCUAAAAAUGAUGGAGGACCAAUCAAUUAAUUCAUAUACACAGUCUUAAAAAAUUCAUAUAUAAAACAGAAAAUUCAUAGUAGGAUUUUAUAUAUAUCAUAUAUACACAUAAUUUGAUGUGUAAAAAAGAUUAAGAGCAGUAGAAGUCAAAAGGACAAACCAGUUGUGAGAAUCGUAACCGGCAAUUGUUGCCAAUUUCGCUAGAGCUUGUCUCCAUCUUCCAAUAACCUCCUUUGUUUUACCCGCACAAGUAUUUCUGAAGACACUCCCAAAAUCUCCAGUGAGUUUCUUUACAUUAGAUGGAUCCACUUUAUAGAAAAUAGGUAUCACUGUUUGACCAAACUCUUCCCUACACUUCAUGAUCUCCACUAACUCAUCAAGACACCACUUUGAAGAACCAUAGUUCCUUGAGAACAAGACAACCGCAAUUUUAGAUUCUCUAAUCGCCUUAAUGAGUUCAGGGCCAAUAGAUUCUCCUCUUCUGAUCUCAUUAUCAAUGAAUGGAAUGAUUCCUUUUCUUCGAAAUUCCUUUUGAAUAUGACUGAGAAAGUCUACGCGGACAUCUUGUCCGUGGAAGCUCGGAAACACUUGGUGUGUCCAACUUUGAGAAGAAGAAGAUGGAGAAACCGAUGAAGGAGGUGGAGAAGUAGAAUUAGUUUCUUCUUUGUCAUCUUGUUUGACAUUUCUAAAAAACGUGAAGAAGCUUAUUGCGGCAACGACAGAGCCAAGGAAAAAAGAAGAAUUCAUUAGUAUGGUGAAGAGUUGAUCAAAAUCCUCUAUGGAAGAAAGAUUAAUAAAGAGGCUUUGUUUUAUAAUAGAUACAGACGUUGAAUAUUUUGGCAGAGAAGCUGCAUGGAUAUUUCAUGGAAAAUUUUGCUAACGACAAAAUCAUUGACCCUAAUCAAGUCUUGUGCACAUCAUAUUCAAAAAAUUUCGUUGAAAUGAAUACUAUAUAAUGUAAAUUGUCACUUCAUCUAGCAUUUUAAAAAUCUUUCAAUGAAAUGAUUUUUCAUAGUUGCUUUUGGUCAACCAAAAUAUUAGAUUUGUGUUUACAAAAAUCUAUAUUAGUAUUUUUUAAGUACAUUUUUAACGGAUGGGUUAAAUUGUUAUCCGAAAAAUUUGCUACCCGAGCCGAUAAAAAAUUUCCUUCAUAAAUUUUACAUCGGAUAGUUCAUAUCUUUUUUGGAUUGGGUCAAAACAUAUCUGAAAUUAUGAACAGGAUAUUACAUAUUUAAAAAUAUAGAUCUUUAGAAGAUUUUGCUAAGAUUUAGAAAUACAAUUCUCUUUUCAUCUUUGUUUGAACAUUUUUUUUACUGUUUUGAAUCAUCAUAUAAUACAUAAAGUGAAAAAAAGAAAAAAUUGGGAUUCGAAAUAUUUGAAAUAGGUACCCAAUUGAUGAAAAAGGUGUGUGAUCAACGUCCCACAUAUCGGCUAAAAUAUUUAGAUAUUGAUUCAGAAUCAUGUUAUAAUUAAGAUCAAAAUGAAUCCAAAAAUAUAUAAAUAAAAUUAUAACGAAUUGUUGUAAUAUUUACCUUUAUAAAAAAACGUUCGAUUUUUUAUUUUUAGGUGAGAUUAUGUCGGUUCAUAAUAACUAUUAUCUAUCUAUUUUAUGGAAUCUUUUUAAGUGUUUCUCAAGAUUGAGCUCAUUAUUUUUCCUCAGACAACUAAUCAACUUGGUUUGAGAUUGGCUUAUUAUUGGUAGAUUUUAUUAUAAUCCCUUAUAAUAAUAGUAGUCCCAACAAAUACAUUUGAAGAUUAUAUUUUUAAAUAUAUAUUUUUGUUUAGUAUUUUUUAUAUAUUUAUAAUUGUUUAAAACUUUAUUUAUUAAAUGUCACUUUUUUAAUUAUGACUGUUCUUUUUUUUUUGUCAUCCGUAAUUAAUUAUAAGCUCAAAAGAGCCAUUCCUGAGGAAUGUUGUUUACAUAAGUGAUGUGAGACGGCUCUGUACGAACUUUUCGUGCCAGAUUAUCCGCUUUAACAUUAGCACUACGAGAAAUUAAAGAUAAAGAGAAGCUUGAAUACUCUUCCUUGUCAUUGUGAAAUUCCUCUAAAUACACUGAAAACGCCGGCCAUUCAGUUGGAGAAGACACCAUCUUCACCAGAUCAGAACAGUCUGUAUAAAACGCCACGUCUUGAUUAUCUGCACCAAUCAUACACUUCAUCGCCCAGAGAAGGGCCUCGACUUCUGUAUGUAGGGAAGACAGACUUCUACGGAGGUUGGCAGCUCCCAUGGUUGGCGGCUCUCCAUUUGACGAUGUACAGAACCACGCUGUACCGGAGAACUUAUCACUUCCUUUCCACGACCCAUCCACAAAACAACGGUACCCUGAAUAAUUCGAAUCAAGAGAAACCUCCCGCACUCGGGAUCGAGUUGUCGAAACAACAGAACCAUGAUUUUCUUCUUGGAGCUCUAAUUGAGCCGCUUGCCAUAAUUGUGCCUCUUUUUCUACUAACCGUAAUACCUCUAACGGAUCUUUAUCUAUAUUUUCAAAGAUUUUUUCAUUCCUUGCUUUCCAAAUAUAUCAUAUAAUCCAUAGAAAAGCUGAAGAAUCAUAGUCUGAAGGUAUUCUCCAAAAUAAGUGAUCCAAAUUUGCAAAAAUAGAUUUUGUGGGAAAAUUUCCCAAAGCCGUUGGAAUCUGUGAAAGCGCCCAAAUAUGCCGUGCCGGGUGGCACUGGAAUAGUGCAUGAUUGAUUGUUUCCUCUGAUGCACCACAUCUGGCACACCCUGUGUCACAAUCCAUUCCUCUUUUCCGUAAAUUUUCCGUACCCGGUACACAACCGUUUAAAAUUUGCCAUAAAAAAUGUCGUAUUUUCGGUGGGCAUUGCACUUGCCAAGAGUGUGCUUUAAGCGGUUUGAUAUCUGGACCAAUAAACAAAAAAUUGGUCUCCGACUUUUCUAUCAGUGUGGUAUGAUAACCCGAUUUAACUGUAUAUUUGCCAGAUUUUGUAAAGUGCCAACCCAGGGUAUCUUCCCUCGUUGGCGCACCCACUGGAAGGGUGCUUAUUAGCGCGACAUCUUCAGGAUCAAAGGUCUCCUUUAAGAGAUCAAUAUUCCAAAAGUUAGACCGGCUAUCGAUAAGGUUGUGAAUGGGUCUGCAAUUGAACCAUUACUUUUUGCUGGUCUCGGGAAUUGAGCUGGAAUCCAGGGAUCCUCCCAAACUGAGAUAGAUGUCCCAGAUCCGACUCUUUUAAUAAGUCCUUUAUUAACCAGAGAUCUAGCUGAGCAUAUACUCCUCCAUCCAUAUGAUGGGGAGUAUGAUUUUAUAUUCUCCAAAGGAUUGGAUUUCCGAAAAUACCGCCCUUUAAAGACCUUUGCAAAAUGAGAAUCUGGGACCGUGAUCAACCGCCAUAACUGUUUAGCUAAUAAUGCUAAAUUAAAAUCAUCUACAUUCCGGAAACCCAAACCCCCUUCCGAUUUGCUAUUGCAUAAUUUAUUCCAGGCCAUCCAGUGCAUACCUCUAGAAUCACCAUUUGAACUCCACCAAAAAUUAGCAACCGCACUAGUAAGUUUAGAAGUGAUCGUUUUCGGUAGUCUGAAGCACGACAUAACAUAAGUUGGUAAUGUUGCAGCUACCGAUUUAAUCAUGACUUCUUUCCCACCUUUCGAUAAAAAUUUUGCCGACCAGCCAUUAAUUCUGGUUUGUAACCUAUCUCUAACAAAAGAGAAAAUCUUUGUCUUCGAGCCACCCAAGCUCUCCGGCAAUCCGAGAUAAGAACCCAUACCACCGAUAUUAGUGAUACCCAAGGUGGCUUUGAUAUCUUCCUUGAUAGCAUCAUCUACCUUAUGUCCAAAUUGAAUCGAGGAUUUUUGAAAAUUAAUCUGCUGUCCGGAGACCGCUUCAUACUUCUUUAAAAUCCCCAAAAUAACCCCGCACUGAUCCUUAUUAGCUUUGCAAAAAAAUAAACUAUCAUCCGCAAAUAACAAAUGUGAAACCGAAGGGCUUGCAUUUGCAACUUUGAUACCUGUAAUUAAUUUUUCCCGUUCUGCUUUCCGAAUAUUCGCAAUUAGCACUUCAGUGCAGAGGAUAAAUAAAUAGGGCGAAAGCGGGUCUCCUUGUCGUAACCCCCUUUCUGGUACUAUUAGUCCUCGAGGUUGUCCAUUAAGGAGAACUCUAUAUUGGACUGUUGUAAUACACCACAUUAUCCAAUUAAUCCAUUUUUCACAAAAACCCAAUUUACUUAAAACCUUCUCAAUAAACUUCUAUUCCACCCUAUCAUAAGCCUUACUCAUGUCCGUUUUAAUAGCCAUGAAUUUCUCUUUACAGGACGGAUUAGUUCUCAACCCAUGAAACAUCUCUUGUGCAAUGAGAAUAUUAUCCGAAAUCAAACGACCUUCUACAAAAGCCGAUUGUGUUUCUGAGAUUAGUGCAGGUAGAACCGUCUUUAGUCUUUGACAAAGAAUCUUUGAUAUAAUUUUAUAACCAACAUUGCAAAGACUUAUAGGCCGUAAUUCUGUCAUCCGUGUCGGUCUUUCCGUCUUUGGGAUCAGACAAAUAUUAGUCGUAUUUAACCGUUUAUCAAAAAUUCCAUCCUCUAAGAAAGAGUUGACCAGAAAAAGAAGAUCUGCUUUUAUAGUAACCCAAGCCUUUUGGACUGUCAUACCAUCCGGCCCUGGUGCUUUUUCCGGAUGCAUCAUAAACAGAGCCGAUCUCACCUUACACUCCGUUGCAGGAGCCGCUAGAAAAUUAUUAGUCUGAUCCGUAAUCAGAGUUUGAACCUCUGCCAGGGCUUCCUCAAAAGCAUCAGGCUUAGUUGUAGUAAAUAAAUUCUUAAAAUAAGAUACCGCUAUAUUUUGAAUAUCUUUAUCCUCUACGGACCAAAUCCCGUUUUCGUUAUGUAAACCCGUAAUUCGAUUCCUUGCCCGUCUUUGUUUGGUGACAGCAUGAAAGUACUUCGAAUUAUUAUCCCCUAAUUUCAUCCAUAAACUCCUACUUUUCUGGUACCAAUACAUUUCCUCAUCUCGAUAAGGCUCUUUUAACCGCAAUGUUAAUUCUGUAAUUUCCUCCCGGGAUCUCCUAUCAUCUCUUUGUGUCUCAUGUAAUUCCUUUUUUAGAUCCUCAAUUAAUUUCCGCCCGUAGGGAGUUAAUUCUUUCCUCCACUGCGAGAUAGCCCGCCUACAAUUAGUUAAUUUUUCCACAAAUUUCCCUUCUCCCAACUCAGUAUCAAAAUUCCAACCAUUUGAUAUUGCCUCUAAUAGUCCUUCCUUCCCGAUCCAUCUCUUGUCAAACCGAAAAUUUUGUUUUCCACGUGGUAUCUUAUCCAUAAGCGUAGCUACCACCGGAGAAUGAUCAGAAGCAACCAUUGGUAAAUAUUCUACGAAAGAAUUACAGAAUAUUUCAUGCCAAUUUUCGUUUGCUAAAGCUCUAUCCAAGCGACACCGUAUUGGUUUUUUAUCCCGCCAACCCCGCCAGGAUAACCAAUCUCCGAUAUAUGGAAAAUCCAACAUGCCGCAAUUUUGAAUCAUUAAAUUGAAGGGGAUAAAAGAAGAUGCAUGUUUUAACUUACCCCCUCUUUUCUCAUGAUUUCCAGUUAACUCGUUAAAAUCACCUAUUAAAAACCAAGGUGUAUCCCGAUUAAGGCCGAUCCGUGUUAACCGUUUCCAAACUUGGUCUCUAUUUUUCGGAACCGGAUCACCAUAAACAAAAGUGAGAUGAAUUGUUUUUCCUUUCACCACAGCCUCAACAUCAAUUAAACGAUUAUUUUCAAAAAUAAUUGAUACAUUAAAAUCAUUAUUGUAAUACAAAGCUAAACCGCCACUACAACCGAUAGGAUCAACCGUUUUUAAAUUUUUGUAACCAAAAUGACCGAUGAAUUUUUCCAUAAACAAAGAAGAUUGUUUUGUUUCCGAAAGAAAUAAAAAAUCUGGCCGGUGUUAUUUCCAUAUAUCCCGAAGAUAACCGAUAGUUGCCUUAUUCCCGAGUCCUUGACAAUUCCAACUCAAUACCUUCAUUUAUCAACCUUUGGCUUUGGUGGUUUGCCACCACCUGCUGUCCCCUUCACCACGACCUGGUUUAUCGGGUUUUUUCUGUCCGUAACUUGCUCCCCGCCUUUUUGGACUUGUCUCCUCCAAGGAGAUGUUAGCAAUUGGGCAUUACGUUUCAUCAAUUAUGACUGUUCAUUUUGUUAUUUUUCAUUUAAGGGUGCGUCUCUUGACCAUAAUUUUUUUUAUGAUCGUGUUUUAUUAUUCUUUUUUUCAUCAUCUCUUUGGUUUAGAUAGUUGUAUGUUACUAAUACCUUAAUUAUAAGUCUUUUCAGGGUUAAUGCUAAAUGAAGCAUUUUUUGAAAAUGAAUAUAGCAAAAGUGAAUAAUUCCCCUUUAAAAACUAUAAAAGUGUUUUAGGGAGUCAUAUUUUCUUACAGUUUUUAAUUACAAAUAUUCUUCAUGUAGUUUUUCACUAUGUGCGUUCAUUUACCAUUCAUGUAUUUUCAAUCUUAUUUAUUGUUAAUUUUCUAUAAAAAAAAAUUAUUUCACUUAUACAUAUUAUUUGUUUAGAGUAUUUAAAAAUUUGGUAAACAUAUAUUCUUUUAAAAUUGAUUUUUGUUUUAGAAUUAUUGAUUUAGCAAAAGAUAUAUUGAUCGUAUUAACUAAAUAACAUGUUGUUUUACGUACAAUUCACCCAAAAAAAAUGUUGUUUUACGUACUAUGAGCGAAUAAAAAUAACGCAACUAAUCAAUCUUUAUGGACAAAAUAAAAAGGAUAAAAAAACACGAGAACAAGAAAUCAUUUCACGUCGGCCCAUCUCCAUUCUUUUUUACCUCGAGUAUUUAGACCUUGUGCAACCCAACUUUUCUAAUCGGUACACAAAUUUGAUCAUUUCUUUGUCAAAAAAAUAAAAUAAAAAAUUGAUCAUAUUCUCCAUAAAAUUAUGAGAAGAUCCAAUUUUCACAUUACAUAAAUUCAAGACUUAAUCUUUUCCAUAUUAAGAAGUAUCAUUCGUCUCUUUUCUGACCCAAUGUAAUUUAUACAUGUUUGGCUCUUUUUUGUCCGAUUCUUUUUUCGUUUUCAACCAAAUUCAAUAAUUUAAAUGUUUGAGAGUCAUCAGAAAACAUCAAACUAGUGGUCUAACCAUGUAUGUGCAUCAGAGGGAUUUUUUCCACAGUAGUACGUAAUACGGAAUAUACAUAUAUAUAAUACCGAAUUCAUUAGCCUCCCCUGCCAAACAUUUCACGUGGAGUGGGAGAUUCGAUGAAGAUUCGGACAAACCCUCUCUGUGAAACUUUAAUAGACUUUUCUAAUUUGGUUAUAUUUCACUAUUAAUUAGUAGAGCGAUGAGAAACUCAAUUUUUAUAAGUUUAUCUCAUAUGCGAAGACAAGAGACCAGAUUCUGUGCAUGGAUUUAACAAAAGAGUGUAUUGCUCCUAAAUAUCUUUUUCAAUCAGCAAAAAGUAUUUAAAUCUUGGAAUUUUAUAUUCUUAUAUGAUAUCUACUCUUUGUUUUUAGACAAUGUCUAUGAUACUUGAACUUAGAUAGAAUUUAUCUUUAAUUAAAACGUUUAUAAAACAUUUUCUUUUAGGUGUUUUUUGUGAACUAUUCAUGGAAAGUCUGAAAUCAAAAUCCAGCCCAAUCAAUUUAAUCGGUGAAACGUUAAAUUGGAAUCUCUAAAUGUAAUGUAGAUUGAUACAAGGAAAAAGUGAUCUAUGAUAAAUCCAGCUUUCAUAUACUGUUCCGUUUUGUUUGUUUAUGUUUUCAUGUUUGCUACGCGUGUUUAUGGAAUGGAACCGACCGAUCAUGUUAUGAACAUUGAUUUUAAUUAAAUUAUCAUUAAAAAAAAACAACUAUAUCGAUUUUUCUAAUUUUCUUUUAACAUCAUUUGGCCUCAUCUACAUUAACGGGAAACCAAUUUUUGAUAAUACAUUUUAAUAUGUAUAUUAUUUAUUUUAACAAAAUUUUAAUUUGGAAGCAGGGACUCGAUCAUUCAUUAUGUCUAACUACAAUGUGUUCGCUAUACAUGGAACUUUUUCUUUGAAAAUGUUCUCGAAGUUCUAGGUACACAAAAGUAGGGUUAGGUGUAGCUUUGGAGACUAUUGGAUCAUUAUUGGCUUCAAGUUCUUGGUGACCUCAACAAAGAGUGGAAGAAGUAGAUAUUUCGUGGUAUUGCUUUGCAUCAGUUAACACUAAUCUAACAAAUGGUCGUUUUAUACUUUUUGUUAAAUUAAAAACAUAAUAUAUAUAUUAUUAUUAUUGGACAAAAUUAAAAACAUAAUAUUUAAAGCAAAAUAAUUGGAGGUUUUAGAUUAGAAAAUUUGGUAAAUUGUGUUUAUCUUUGUAGAAGUCUUUUAUUUGAAUAUUUUUCUUCUCACUUGUCCGAAACAGGCAGCUACUAUGAACACGAGUGAACCCAUGACUAGGCCUACCCAUGACGGUCGAAUUGGUGUAGAAUCAAUGAUUGGUUUGUACAGUUUUAGGAUAAGCCAAAAGUACAAUUACAAUAAAGCCAUGCACGUGAAGUUGCUGUCCAAAUCUAUUGGAAAUAAUAUAAAAAUUUUGCUUGUCCGAAAUGAAAAUGGCAGUAAUAACAUAAAGACAUGAUCACAUGAAUAAUUUUUCAAAUGAAAGCGCAUAUGAUACAUAAAUGUGGAACUCAUUUAGUUGUACCAAAAUCUCAGUAAACAAUAAAUGACUCAAAUGCAUAUUGAGUCUAGUCGUGUAUUUUCUUUUUAUCUUUUUUUUUUGUUUUUUUUGUGUGUGGCCAAGUCCAAUUGCACUUGGGUUUUUGAUUUGCAUUAGUUUGGUUUUCUGUUUCUUAUAUUGUUUGUUUUGGGAUUUUUUUUGUAGCUGAGUAGCUGACAUAAUUUAUCUAGCUUUUUCUUUUCUUUUCUAUAAUUAUAGGUUUUGGAAAACUUAUUUUUUUUUGUUUUGGUAUCAACUUUUUUUUUUCCCAAACAAUACUCUAUAUAUUAUUUCCUACGUUUUUUAUGAGAUAAUUGGCCAGGAGACAAGGAUUUUGAGUCUAAUUAGUUUUUCAUAAACUCUUGUCGUGGUCCAUAACAUAGAAAAUUUCAGCCUCUCUUUUUGCCAAAAAUAGCUUUACGCGUGUUUCCACGCGUCUCUCUCAUUUAUGCAAACUACCAUCUCUCUUGCGUUUCCAACUUCUCUUCUACAUCAAUCCAUCAGUUUUUUAUUUUCUUUCAAUCACUGUAUCUCUUCUCCGGCGACGUUUCUUUUUUCGCCGUUGUUUCUAUUUCUCACAGUCGCCAAGAAUUUUCAUCUUCUUUUACGGUGUGGAGUUGGUUCUUUUAAGAGUCAGUCGGUUUAGUUUCAUCCGUGUUUUUCCGGAGUUUUCUUGAGUCUAAUGAAAUCUUAGGUCGAUUUGGUUUGUUUUUGUGCUCCUAGUCACCGUCGUUGGUUUUAAAUCUACAGUUUCUCCGUCGUUUGCAAAAAAACCCGACCAUUCUAUAUUAGUCGUUUCUUUUUUCCAGAUCUUGGACAUUCACAAAUCAGCAUAGAUCGAUACUUUUCGUGUUGGACAUUCACAAAUGAGCAUAGAUGUAUACUUUCGUGUUUUGCAUGUUCAUAAUUUUGUUGCGGCUCCAAUAACUAACGAAGAUCUUCACCUUUUUCGUCAGGACCAUAGCGGAUCUAGACCUUCCUGCUAGAUUAUUCGCCGAUCGAGAAGAAUAUGUGGGUGAACGUGUUAACCAGUACUUCAAGCUACACAUGGUUAAAGCUGUCCUGAAGGCUUUACAACCGUCGAAGCUUGAAUUGAUUCGGCCGUGUUUUGGGAAAUUGCUCGAUUCACAUCGCCAUUGUUUAUUCAUCGGUAAAAGAUAACUUUCACGAUACAAAUAAGGAUGUAAAACAUUUUUUGGAUCUUCACAAAUAGAUCUACAAUGUAUAGAUGCAGAUCUAAGGAUAUUUGUGGAAAUAGGUCAAGAUUUAGAGAAAUACACUAUAAUACCAAAACAAGAAAUUUUAGAGUGAAAAGGAAGAAGACGAUGGAGCAUAGCCUAUGCAUGAAAGCAAUCAAAACAUGCUUGUUCCUGGGAAAAAAAUUCGAAUUUCAUAAAAAAUUCUCAAUUAGUUAAUGAAUUAUUUAACUAUAAAUUUAGAUACAUGUUCAUCUACUUUCAUAGAGUCAUAUAUUGAACUAUAAGUGCUACAUUUAUUAAUACAUAUCUACGUUAUUAGGUUAGUGGUUUAAAUUUUCUAAUUUUUGUCCGUAAGUUUUUGUUAUAGAUUCAAAUGUAGGUGUCUAAAUACAUUUUCUAUUAGACAUGCACAAAUAAAAUUCGGUGGUGAGUCAUGUAAGGAUCAUUUAUUAGUUCAACUGGUUGGCAUUUAUGAAUUGUCAGAAUGUUAUUUCACUUACUCUUAAAGCCGUGUUGGUAUCGCCCACACGCAUAUAUUUCACAAACUCUGGUUUUUCUGUAAUAAGUAUGUAAAUCAGACCUAUUUUCAUCAAUUAUUAUUCUCUUGUCAGGGAUAAGUCAACCAUAAUAUCGAAUUCCUAAUUUAUGUUCCCAUAUUUCCUUAUGAACAAAUUCACCUUUUUUUUUAUUAAGGUGUGACUAGAUAACAUACUUAGCUGAAAUCAAAUCAGCUGAAAUAUAAUUAUUUUAAAUACUGCUCAAAAAUUACCAAUCAGAAGAAAAGAAAAAAAUGAAUAUUUUAGUUUUUCUCGCUAGAUAUUGUUUGGAAUAGAGAGAGAGAACGUACAAAUGUUGACUCUAGUUUUGAGAAAGUAAUAUUUGCGCUAGUUUUUUUCAUUGCUCUUUCCAUUUUUUUCCUUUUUUCUUUACUUCCAUAUAACUCCAAAAUUUAUCAAUUAGACGUUAAAUAUUGUUUAAGCCUUUAAAUUUUGUUUCAGUAUAAAUGUCGUUUCAUAAUUUCAAUUCAAUGUUUGGUAGAAUUUUCUAUUGAUUGUACUGACCAAUAAAAAAUUUAUAUAAUAUGCUAAUAUAGCUAGGGUAAAUAGAAAAUUGAAUUAUUAUAUAUUUUUUAAUAUAUGUGAAACAAUCUUAAACAACACUUAUAAUAAACGAAGGAAGUAUACUAGUUUUAAUUUAAUGAUUGACACACUAACCGUGUUACAUGUCUUGGUUUCCAUUUGGGUGUCAAAAUUACUAAGACAAAUAUUGAACUUUUUUAACUGACAAAAAAACAUAUUUAGCAUAUGAACUAAGUUUUUAUUUCAUGAAAUGCAACUACGUACUAGUAUUAGGCUGCGUUUGUUUCUUAGAAAUACUUAUAUCUGAAGAAAAUUAAUUAAUUACGUAGUACUAAUUAAGAUAUUAAUAAUAGUCGACAUGGGUUUCCGGACAAAUGUCAUCGGAUAAAAGUUCUUUGCGAAAAGGCGGAGGAAGAAAAGGAGGACGAGUACACAUGAGCAAUGCCCAAUUCACUCCUUGGAAAAAUGGGUGGCGUUUCACGGCCGUUGCACCCAGAGAUGACCCUAACCGUCGGCUCGGGUCCUUGGCCAGUAGCUGAGAGAUCAGAUCCUUGGCCGCGCUUGGAAUAGUUGGUUCUUUCGGGAAUUCGAGGGCUCGAGCCACGAUGUUGGCAAGGGUUAGUUCGUGGUCCAUUCCUUUGAACGGCGUUGUUCCGUAGAACAGCUCGAACAUGAAUAUCCCUAAUGUCCACCAGUCCACCGCACUCCCAUGUCCUUCUCCUGCAAUCCACAGUUCACGUUCCAUGUUAGGAUACCACAUCGGAAAGUUACAUGAAAAUGCUUUUUAUUUCUUUUAUUUUUGAGAAUUAUAUAAAAUUUCCUAAGAAUCAAAACGUUUGACAUAAAAAACAUUCAAAUGGAUAUUGUUUUAAAACUCAAAUCCAAAUCGAAACAGAGGAAAGGAGAAUGAGGAAGAUUUGAAGAAUACCUGAAACAAUCUCAGGAGCCAAGUACUCAUGCGUACCAACGAAGGACAUAGAGCGGACAUCCACAGGCUCGGCUACAAGCUCAGGACCGUUGUUACGGUGAUCAGUUUUCUUCUUGCGCCUUCGGAUUCUCGGGUGAAAGCAAGAGACAGCAGGGACAAUACAAUUAGGGAUCAUGCAAGAGGACGAUGUGGUUUGAUGGUGGUCCAUGCCUUGGUUCUCGUUCUGGUCAGACGAGCCGUUAGGAAGGUUGUUCCGGUUCAGCACUAUCUGUGGUGUAGAAGUCGAUUCAUCACAUUUUAAAGAGAGAUCAAAAUCGGUUAGCAUGAUAUGACCAUCUGAUCGAACCAGCACGUUCUCAGGCUUCAAAUCGCGGUAAACAAUCCCCAACAUGUGAAGAUAUUCAAUCGCCACGAUCACUUCGGAUACAUAGAAUCUAGAAAAUAGUAAAGAGAUGUUGAUUAGUAAUCUGAAAAGAAGGGACAAAGAGAAGAAAACAUGGUAGUGAGAACAAAACGAAUAAUUAAGAUUUGCAAUAAUUUAACAAGAGUUUGUUUGGAAUCUUUGGUUUACAAUUUUAGGUAUUGUGACAAAACAGCAAUUGUUUGGAUUUGGAGACAAGAAGAUGAUGUUUUGGGUUUGAUGUCACUAUACAUAAGGAACAAAAGAGGACCUACAAAGGUUGGUUGGCUUAACGAACUCUUUUGUCUAAAUGAGAGUUCUGGUGCUAAGAAAUUAUCCAAGAUUCCUCUAGCUGACCCUUUUUGUCUUCACGGGUCCACAAUCAACAAACAUACUCCACACAAAACAGAGUAAAAACUGUACAACAGGCGAAUUCUAAAAACAAGUUCACACAAAAGAUAAAACCCAAAUCUUAAUCCGUUCACAUAUGCAUUUCCGUAGAGCCAUUGUUCUUUAUAUCAUUUAAAGAGAAAGCGAGAUUAAAGGGUCAUUUUUCCUUCGAAGGGAAAUGAAAAAUGCAGCUACGUGGAGAGAAAUGGGACCUUGAUUUUUUUGUAGGACAACCUUAAAAAAAAUAGAUAUCUAUUAAGUAUUAAGGAAUCCCUACAAUCAUGAUAAAAGAUUGGACUACAUGUUUUGGUCCCAAUUCUAAAUCAUUUUACUUUAAUAAUAAAGAAGAAACCUUAUAAAAACUCAAUUACAGAAAAAGAAGUAAAAAGUCCUAUACAUAAGAAUUAAGUUGUAAGUGUAACUAAACACACAUGCACACAAAAAUUUCAAGUCACAAGAAUUAAAACAAAAAUGCUCAAUUGGUAAUGACCUUGACUUCACUUGUAGGAUCUUUAACGUGUAAACCACUACUACUUUGUCAUAUGACAAUAACUUAAGAACACAAAUAAAUCAGAGCCAACAUCUACCAAGAACAACAAGAUCCGGUUUUCAAGUAUUACCACGUGAUACAAAUUGGUCCAUAAAUAAUUAUAAAAGUGGCUAACUCAACUAACAAUGAUAACUUCCAUCUACUUCUAUUCUAAGCCACAGCUACUUUUCAAAACUGGUUAAUAAAUUUCAUAAUUUUCCAAAAAAUUCCUCAUUGUGUAGGACCAACCAAUUAAGAUCAUUAGACAAAACAGAAUAUAUUUUAAAUAUUUAAUAACCACCGGUUUUAAAAGGGAAUGGCACUAUUGUAAAUAUUGUUACGAAGAACAAGCUUAGCUGGGAUGUUGUUUGUACUGUAACCACAUGCCCGAUUACAAAAAAUAUUAAAAUUUCAACUUCAAUUGCAUGCUACGUGAUUUAAUUCAAUCACGCGAGUACCACUACAAAACGUACACGUGUCUUUAAGUGAUUUGUUCUUACUUCAAAGUCAAACCCCACUCGUUUUGACUUUUUAUUAAUCGUUAUCACCUACGAUUUACGCACACAUGUAAGUAAUCGUGCAUACAUCUGCUUACAUAAAAUAAAUUUUUUUAAAAACUAUAUAUUAUACAAUGGUUUUAAUUAAAUAGACUUUUUAGUCCCUUUUUUUUUGUAGCGUAAAUAGACUUUUCCUAGUUUAUAAAACAAAAGCAUUUAUCGAGCACAUCAAUCAAUAAAAACAUUUUUCAGUAGCAAAUCUAGAAAAUUCAUUACAAAUAUAUAAGUUAACGUUUAGUGAAAAUUGCCAAAAUUUCGGACGAAAUUACGGAAAUAAAACCUCGAUUGUGUGUGAUUUUCACUAGGAUUAUUAUUACACAAGUAACAAACUUAAUGGGCCUAUGAUAUAACUAGUGCAUAAAUUGCCGUUAAAAACUAGUAUAUUAUAAAUAAAUCGCCACUUUAUGGUUUUUAAUUAAAAAUUAAAAUACACUUUCUAGUCCCUUUUUGUGUGGCGUAAAUAGACUUUUCCUAGUUUAUUAAAAAAAGCAUUAUCGAGCACAUCAAUCAAUAAAAACAUAUUUCAAUAACAAAUCUGGAAAAAUUCAUUACCAAUAUUUAUAAGUUAAUUAGUGAAAACUGCCAAAAUUUCUGACGAAAUUACGGGAAUUAAAUCUAGAUUGUGUGAUUUUUCACUUUAUAUUAUAAUUACGAUAUAAUUACCGUUAAAAAGGCAAUAGUGAUUAAUUAACGGUGCCAUAAAUUCAGUUAUGUGUGUUUAAGUGUUAACUACGAGACAAUUCGCCAGCUGGCGAGUCCCACUUCCCCUGAUUUCAUCAGCUUUUUAUAAUAUUCACUUCUUCAUAAUAAUUACUUCCCAAAAGAUUUUUUUUCAAAAAUAUAUUUUUAGAAACUGAAUAUUUAAAAAUUAAUUACUUAACAGAAACUGUUACCUGACGGCGGAUUCAUGGAAACGUUUAUAAUUCUGUUUUUGACGGAGAACAUGAAGGUCACCGCCGGGACAAAACUCCGUUAACAAACAGAGCCAUUUCGGCGAAUCAAUGGCGGCGUAAAGCGUCGGAAGAAACGGAUGAUCAAGAGAUUCGAGAAUCUCUCUCUCCGUCUUAGCUCUUCCUUCUUUGCUUCUGCUCGCGAGUUCCUUUUUAUCCAUAACUUUCGCUGCUAACAGAGGUAAUUUCACGGCGGUGGUUUCUGUUACGGCGGCUAGGGAUUUGAAUUCGGCUAAGAAAACAGAACCGAUGUCGCCGGAACCGAGACGGAGACGGAAUCUGAGAUCGGAGAGUGAGAGUGAUGAUCGGAGUGAAGGAGGGAGUUUUGAAGAUGAGAAUGAACCGUGAGCUGAUGGUGCUGGAGUUAAAGCUGCAGCGGAGGAGGAAGAGCGAGAACCGGAGCUAGUGCUUCGAUUCACGGUGGUUCCGGCUGAUGUAAAGCUUACACUCUGUAAAUCGUCGGCUAAUUCGUCAAUCCAUGGCUCCAUUUUCCGAUCUAUACAGAGCCAAUGAGUGACGACGAGAGAGAGAGAGAAGAAGAAGAGAAAGAGAGAGAGAGAGAGAGAAAGAAGUAACUGUGAGAUUUUGCCUUUUUGGGGAUGAGAAAAAAUAGAAUCAAAAGAAGAUUAGAGAGAUGAUGGCAAAGUUGUAAUUUAAGGGUUUAGAUAUGACGCGUUUCGUAAUUUAACGUAUUUGCUAAUAUUUCGAGGGAAAAAUGUCGUUUAAUCUCCGAACUUUCAAAAAGUGGCCAAUCAAUACGUCAACUUCUCAUAAGGCCAUUUUAAACAUCAAGUUAUCGUUGACUAAACAAAUGACCCAUUGGAUUGCGUUGACCAGGCCCAUUUGCACAUGUCGUUAACUCCGAUAACAGACCCAGUAACGGCCGUUUAAACCCGUUAACAUUUCUCUGUUAAGGCCAAAACGUUGUCGUUUUACACUUAAACGAAAUCAAAAUCGAAAUCAAAAAUCCCCAAAUUAAACAAACAAAAUCCCUAAUUCCUCUAACCCUAAACCCUAAUUUUCUCCGACGAUCUUCAAUCAGUCUUCACGAAUGCCAUUAAUCAGACACAACGGCGCCAUAAGGAGGGUUGGGUCACCAAUGGAAGGCGAAUUAGAGAGUUUUGGUGCUGGAGUUGAAGCUUCCGAAGGAGAGACUGGAGAUGGAGUUCGUGCUCCACCGGCGGAAGUCGAAGCAGAAUCAGGUGGUGUGGAUGAAGCGACUGUCGGCGUUUUAGAGACUGUUGCUGUUGAGAAAGCUCGAGAUGCAAGACAGCGUCGAAAACGAAGAAGAGCUAGAGACGUAGAAGUUGAUGAUGAGCCUGAGCUGGAUCCGGAGCCUGAUUUGGAAGAUGACUGCGCCGUGUUUGCUGAUGAAGAUAUCAAUGAUGUUGAUGAUGCAGUAGGUCAAGGAGAUAACGAUGAUAACGAUGGUAAUGAUGGCAACGUUGUUGAAGAAGAUCCUAACCUCAACAUUGCUGCAGAUUUUCCAGACGCUUAUAGAGUAGAUGAAGAAGCUGGUUCUGAUUCUGACAGCGGAGAUGAUAUCUGGGAGGACGAAAAGAUUCCAGAUCCUUUGUCAUCUGACGAUGAAGAUGAAGUUAGAGCCGGAGAAGAGGCAGGUGGUAGAGAUGAAGACGACCCAGAGAUUUUGCUAGGUAUCGAGAAGACUUUCAAUUCUCCAGAUGAUUUCAAGCGGGCAGUAUUGAUGUAUUCUUUGAAGACAAGGUAUAACAUCAAACUCUACAGGUCUGAAUCAAUGAUGGUGGCUGCGAAGUGUUGCUAUAUUGAUGAUGAAGGUGUUCAAUGUCCUUGGAGAGUAUAUUGUUCAUAUGAGAAGAAGAAGCAUAAGAUGCAAAUAAGAGUUUAUAUCAACGAGCAUUCAUGUGUGAGGUCAGGGUAUACAAAGAUGUUGAAGCGGUCUUCCAUUGCAGCUUUGUUUGAGGAGAGGCUGAGAUUGAAUCCAAAGCUGACCAAAUACGAGAUGGUUGCUGAGAUAAAGAGAGAGUACAGAUUGGAAGUAACUCCAGACCAGUGUGCUAAAGCGAAGACCAAAGUUCUGAGAGCAAGAAAUGCUAGUCAUGAGACCCAUUUUGCAAGGAUAUGGGAUUAUCAAGCAGAGGUUUGUCAUCGAAAUCCUGGUACUGAGUUUGAGAUUGAGACAAUUGCAGGGGCAUUUAUUGGCAGCAAGCAGAAGUUUUUUCGCUUAUACAUUUGUUUUAAAUCUCAAAAGGAUUCAUGGAAACAACAUUGUAGACCUGUAAUAGGCAUAGAUGGUGCUUUUCUGAAGUGGGACAUAAAAGGACACCUAUUAGCUGCGGUUGGUAGAGAUGGUGAUAAUCGCAUUGUUCCUCUAGCUUGGGCAGUGGUAGAAAUAGAAAAUGAUGAUAACUGGGACUGGUUUUUGAGGAAACUUUCUUCAAGUUUGGGGCUUUGUGAAAUGGCUAAUCUAGCUAUCCUUUCAAAUAAACAAUCGGUGAGUCUUAUGCUUAUGUUUUAUAUGAAUGGUGAUGCUUAUUCUAUGCUUAUGCUUCUGUUUUAUGGUUUUAUUUGCAGGGUCUUGUCAAAGCAAUCCAUACUAUACUUCCACAAGCUGAGCAUCGUCAAUGUUCUAAGCACAUAAUGGAUAAUUGGAAGAGAGACAGCCAUGAUGUAGAGUUACAGCGUCUGUUUUGGAAGAUAGCCCGCAGCUACACCAUAGAAGAGUUUAAUAGUCAUAUGGCAGAUUUAAAGAGGUACAAUCCACACGCUUAUGCGUCUCUGCAACUUACUAGUCCGAUGACUUGGUCCAGAGCCUUCUUCAGAGUAGGUACCUGUUGCAAUGAUAACCUCAACAAUUUGAGUGAGUCUUUCAAUAGGACUAUUAGACAAGCCAGAAGAAAGCCAUUGUUAGAUUUGCUAGAGGACAUCAGGAGGCAAUGCAUGGUUAGAACUGCAAAGAGGUUUCUCAUAGCUGACAGGUUGAAGACAAGGUUUACUCCGAGAGCUCAUGUUGAGAUAGAGAAAAUGAUUGCUGGGGCUGCUAACUGCGAGAGACAUAUGGCCAGAAACAAUUUGCAUGAGAUAUAUGUGAAUGGUGUUGGGUACUUUGUUGACAUGGAUUUAAAGACUUGUGGUUGCAGGAAGUGGCAGAUGGUUGGGAUCCCAUGUGUUCAUGCAACAUGUGUGAUAUUAGGAAGAAAAGAAAAGGUUGAAGACUAUGUCAGUGACUACUACACAAAGCUAAGGUGGAGAGAGACAUACAGGGAUGGUAUUAGGCCUGUCCAAGGGAUGCCAUUGUGGCCUACUUUGAAUAGAUUGGCUGUCUUGCCACCACCUUGGAGAAGAGGUAAUGCAGGAAGGCCAAGUAACUAUGCAAGGAGGAAAGGAAGAAAUGAAACUGCCUCUUCUUCAAGUAAGAAGAAGAUGUCACGGGCAAAGAGAAUCAUGACAUGCUCUAACUGCCUACAGGAAGGCCACAACAAACAAGGGUGCAAGAAUCCAACUGUUCUGAAUCCACCACCAAGACCAAGAGGACGACCAAGGAUAAAUCAUGUAUACACUUGAUCACACUUAUUUUCCAUUAAACUCUUUGAAAUUAUGUAUGUUCUGAUUCUCAUUAUGGUUUCAUUGAAUUAGGAACAACAAGGAUUGUCUCAGCAAGUACAAGGACAAGGAGCUGCGGGUCAUGGAUCACAAGGUUCAGAAGGAUCAAGAGCUGCGGGUCAUGGUUCACAAGGACAAGGAGCUUCGGGUCAUGGAUCACAAGCUUCACAAGGAUCAAGAGCUCAUGGAUCACAAGAACAAAGAGCAUCACAAUCAACAAGAGCUCAUGGAUCACAAGCUUCACAAGGAUCAAGAGCUCAUGGAUCACAAGGACAAAGAGCAUCACAAUCAACAAGAGCUCAUGGAUCACAAGGACAAAGGGCAUCACAAAGACAAGGAUCAAGAGCUCAUGUUGCACCUGGAGCACAACCACAAUCACAAGCUCAACCACAAGCAGAAGCACAAGCUCAACCACAAGAACAAGGACUUGCUGGAUUAGAAUCAUGGUUUCAGUGUUCCACUUAGGUUUUUAGAGUUUCUGGUUGUUUGAACUUAAGCUUAGUCUCGGGGUUUUUGGUUGUUUGAACUAAAGAAUGUAUCUGGUUUUUUGGUUUUUGUUAGAACUUUUAGUCGGAUAGACAAGGAGCAUAUGUUGCUUGCUUCUUCUUGUAUGACAUGUUCCACUUACUGUAUGACAUGUUCCACUUAUUGUAUGACAUGUUUUGUUGUUUGCUUUUGUUAUGUAAUUGUCUCUUUAACAUCAAAACAAAUUCUCAUAGAAAUCAUGUGUACCAUUACAAGACUACAAGAGAUAUUACAAGACUACAAUAGAUAAUACUUAAUACAGAGACAAACUUCAAAGACACAAUCUAAAAACACAUGACCAAACAUCAAAUAACUAGUAACCAAGAACAAGCUUCUGCUUUUUGUUAUAACCGAACAUUAGGAUACCAAGCACAAUGAUAAUAAAACCAAGACACACCAAACAAAAUUUGACCAUCAAUUUCCAUUUCUUGAUUUCCCUUUGACUCCACAUUGCUUCUUCCUUCAGUUCUUUGAUCAUAGCCUGUAACUCUUCAAUCUCUACGGCAACCUCAGAUUUGGCAUUGUUUAUCUCACUGUCAAUGAUGGAGAAUUUUGGCAAUGCGUCUACAAGCUCUUCGUAUACUCCAUCUUCGACCCAUUUAAACAAAUGUUCCUGCAAUUUCAAUCGGAAACUAUUAUCAACAAAACAAAAACAUCAUAAAAUCAAUUCUACUUACAUCUUGUUUCCUUGGACAACGGAAGAAUGGUCUUCCAGGGUUCUGCUUCGACGCCGAUGUAUAGAUGACGACGUCUAACCCGCAAUGACACUUUGAAGGAAACCCACGUCCCCAACGGCCUCUGUCUUGAAUAAUCGAAUUCGAAUUCACUGAAUUGGAACUCAUUUCUUUAGCUCAAUAUAGAGAAUUCGAAGAAGAAGAAGAAGAAGAAGAAGAAGAAGCAGAUUAAGAAGAAGAACAAAAAGAUUAAGAACAAGAAGGAGAAGACUCUAAGAAUUGGGGAUUUAGGGUUUGUUUGUUUAAUUUGGGGAUUUAUUUGAUUUCGUUUAAGUGUAAAACGGCAACGUUUUGGCCUUAACAGAGAAACGUUAACGGGUUUAAACGGCCGUUACUGGGUCUGUUAUCGGAGUUAACGACAUGUGCAAAUGGGCCUGGUCAACGCAAUCCAAUGGGUCAUUUGUUUAGUCAACGAUAACUUGAUGUUUAAAAUGGCCUUAUGAGAAGUUGACGUAUUGAUUGGCCACUUUUUGAAAGUUCGGAGAUUAAACGACAUUUUUCCCAAUAUUUCGAUGGUUAAGGAGAUGAUACAGUAUUCUAUAUUGACAUGUUUUAUUUAUGUAAGUAGACAAUAAUUAGGGAAUUAUUUGAGAGGAUUUUUGGAUCUCUUCAUGAUUUUUUAAGAUCUUUGUUAUUGUAUUUGUUUCAAAAGAGAGAAACAAAGAGACAUAUAAUCUAGGCCCCUACGGAAUUAAGAUAAUGACAUAAACAUAUUUUGUGUUUGUUCUAUUUCAGUUGUGAUUAUUAGUAUUUUAUUCGUAUGAUAUAAUUAUAAAUAAAUAUCUAAUCACUGUCUUUUGAAUAUCAUGUCACCAAGGCACCAAGGACAAGGAUGGUGUCAUUGGCGUACAAUUUGUAUUGUGAACUCAAAUCUCUAUUGCACAAACCUCGGGUUAGUGGUCGCUCUGCCUCAUUCUUCGCAAAAAGAAACGUUUUGCUAUAACCUUUGAAACCAUAUCAUUGAAAGACAAAUUACUCGGGUUGAGAAGAUUGUAAGGUAGGAUUUCAUUUGUUGGAGUCUGUUCCAACUGUUGUUGAGACGAUUGUAAGGGAAGAUGACCGCGGAACUGCGUUUCUAAAGCAUACUCAAAUUUAAUUUUCUUUUAAAUUAUGAAUAAAUUACAGGAGGAUAAUGUUUCUCCGGACUACACCAGAAAAGAAAAAGAAAGACUAAUUGCUCGGGUCGAAACCGAUUUUGUUGAGUCCGGCCUUGAAUCCUGAUACCAAUUUGUAACAUUCGUCUCAAACCGAAAGUUUUCUAGUCAGACCGAAAAAAUACAAGUGUAAGAGAUUCAAAUAAAUUGAUAACUUAGAACAUUCAAAACAAAUCUUUUAAAUGAGGUUUGUAAGUAUAUAUCCGAAUUAAAAAUAAUCAUCAUGAGAGGCAUGACUAAAAUCUUACUGUAACCGUAACCAGACCGUUUCUCAACCGUAACCGGACCAUAACUGUAUAUAACGGUUAAAAACUGUAACCGUUAACUGUAAAAAUAGAUUGGUUACGGUUAAAAAUUAUUCUAAUCAUAACCGUUAAUUAACCGUAAAGUUAUCAAAACCGUUAGUUUACCAUACAAUUAACCAUACGGUUAACCGUACAGUUAAUUUGCACUAUUAACUGUAUAGUUAAAACCUUUAAAAUAUAAUUGUAACUGUGUAUAAUGCAAAAACAAAUAUCGAAUGUUCAGAUAAAGAUUUUCAAAAAAUAAAUGAUACUGCAUAUAAAAAAUCUACAUUAGAAAAGAAGUUUUUUUCUCAAAUAAAUAUGUUGUAAUGUUAUAUUGAUCAAAAUAAAGAAAAUUUGGUUUAUAGUUUACAAAAAAAUAAAAAAAAUAAAUAAAAAAUAAAAAAGAAGAAAAUUUGGUUUAUAACACACAUUUUCAUUUUAUUAAAAAUAGUAGAAAGAAUUAGAUAACUUGUAAGAUUUUGCCUCCGAUAUUAACCAUAUUGUAAUCAUCAAAUAUUUAUAACUGUAUUUAACCGUAACGGCGUAACCGUUAUAAUUGUAUUUAAACGUAACCGUUUUAACCGUAUAUAUAUAGUGGUUAAAGUUACAGUUAAAAAAAAUUAAUAAUCUUAACCGAUGAUUAAUCAACCGUAACCGUGGAAUAACAUACAACACCUUGACUUGGGAAGAAAUGAUGCGGAAUUGUGCAUUCCACAUGAGGCUUAUGCAGCCACAGAAGCUCGUAACAGGCUAAGUCUUAUAGCUCGACCUCUGAAUCCAAGAUCUCAAAACCUUUUCACGGUUAUCUCUUCACUACCAAGAACUUGGGGCCUAACUUCCUCUGUUCAGGGCAGAGUUCUAGAUGGUACGUAUGUUCAGUUCUUGUUUCAAUCUGAAUUGGAUCUUGUUUCUGCUCAACGAAGAGAGCCUUGGUUGUUCAAUAACUGGUUUAUAGCAGUUCAGAGAUGGGUGGAUUUCCCUGGUUUAAACUUUCGGACAACAAUAGAUCUAUGGGUUCAAAUAAGAGGAAUCCCUUUGCAUUAUGUGUGUGUAGAAACAGUGUCAGAAAUUUUUCAAGAUCUUGGGGAGAUAGUUCACAUGGACUUUAAUGAGAUCACUACCAAUCAGAUAGCCUAUAUUCGAGUUAGAGUUAGGUUUGGAAUCUCAGAUAGGUUAAGGUUCUUUCAAAGGAUUCGCUUUGAUGCAGGUGAAUCAGUUGUAAUCAGAUUCCAAUAUGAACGUCUCAGGAGAAUUUGUACCAACUGUUUGAGAUUUAAUCAUCAAAGAAGUCAGUGUCCCUAUGGUCAGCCUCUACAUGAAAGAAGAGUUGAGGAUAUUGAUCAUAUGUUUGCGGGAAGGGAAAGAAGGGUUCUUAAUGAUGAGCAGCAGAGGUCAAACAUGAACUCUCAAUCUCAAAAUUCAGAUUAUUCCUUCCCUGCACCUAGAUCAAUCCCUCCAAGAGUUGCUACACCACCUUUGAAUCCUGCAGAAACUAUGGAUGCUAGAAGGUAUCUAUCCUCUUCAAGGAUAGCUAAUCUCCACCAGUAUACUGUGCCCUAUCCACAAAAUGCAGUCAGAAGACAUCAAGCUUCUUCAAGUUCUAACUCUAAUUCUGCGGAGGUACAUGAGGUUACACCAACAGAAACACGGAGAUUUGAAACAGGUGAAUGUUCAAGGAGAGUUAACAGUGGUGAAGCUUCUCAGCAGGAGGAUUCUUCAAAACGUAAACAAGGUCAAACUGACAAACAAGAAGAUGAGAAUGUGAACCAGAAGCAAAAAGGAUCUGAGCUUCAACAAGGAGGAAUUCUGAAGCCUCCAAAAAAACGUUAAAUCACUCUACUGAUUCUGUCAUCACUUUUUGGCGAUGCUGCUUAAUCGUUUAGGGCAGUCAAAAGGGUUUGAAUAAAAAGAUUUGUUCGAUGAAGCUCUUUGAGAGAAGGAACAGAUAAGAGCAAGUCCAAUGGGGGGGGGGGGGGGGUUUAGAGUUUCUUAGGCCAUGAAUCCUUACGAAAAUUGCCCAAAUUAAAUCAAAAAUAUAAAAUUUGGUAAGAAACGUACCUUAGUUUAGGAUUGUUUUUGGUUUUAAGAGUUCAUACGUGUCAACUUUCCAUUGGUCUGUCUAAUGAGAAAACAAAUAAUUGUUGAAUUCACCAUUUCUAUUUCUCUCUCUGGUUUUGAUUCUUCUUCGUCUUCUUCAUCAACCUCUAGGAGACUCAUGUAGGUACGUACGUAGCUUUGAAUCUCUUCUUGCGUAACCUAAAAUCUUGUAGAUUCCUCUUGAGAGUGAAGCAUUCUCGAGUGAAGAAAUCGCUUGUUUCUCUCGUUUUCUUUCUUCUGUACUGAUUUCAACGCAAACAACAAGCAAUAAGAUCAAGAUCUUACCUGAAUCAAUCACUACAUAGAGCUAUAUAUUUUGCUUUUGAUUACGAUUUUAGACUCAAACUUGUAUUUGAUUAAGCGACAUUUGUUGUUGUCUUUUUGCUUUGUAGCAUUGAGUUUAGCUUAGGAUUGGCUUUUAAUAGAGUUUCUAUUUGAGUGGAAUUGUCAUAUAGAAUUGAUGUCUAGUUAGUGUUUGAUGAAAUUCCUCUGAGAGUGUGUAAUAAGCUUUCUUCUUCAAGAUUGGUAGAUUUGAUAAAUAUUUUUUUUGGUUUUUCAAGAAUCUGUUAGUUUAAUUGCUUGUGGUUGUAGAUAAAAUGUCACAGAAUGCUUGAUUGGCAUGCUUCUUAUGAAUGGCUUCGGGGAGGAGAGAAGGCCAUGCUUGAUUGGCAUGCUUCUGUGACCAAAGAUUCUACUAACAAGGACUAGAAUCCACAAAUGCAGUCUCCUCCAUCACUUGAGGAACCAGAUCCAAAGAGACAAUUUUUUUUUUUUUUUUUAAGAAUCCACUUAAAGACUCUACCAUUGGACAAAUAAAAUUUUAAGGAUUCAUCAAAAACUCUUAACUUUAAAAUUGUCAUAAUUUAUGAUUAAAAUAUGUUUAAAGAUCCUUUUAAGAACUCAACCAUUGUUGUUGCUCUAAGGUUUGCUAAGUAGAAAGAAGUUUCAGAUGCAAGCUACUUUGGAACAUAAUGUGAUUCUAUGUCAACAAUGGAUCUUUUGUUUUUUUGGAUUAUCCAUUGUAAGGUUCCAAGAAUGACUUGUUUGGUAAGUGGAAGUUUCCACAGUUGUACUUUACAACAACAGUUGAUAUAAAAUGAUACCACUUUUGUGAAAAAAAAAAAAAAAAAAACUGUAACUGUUGUCAACCGUGGUCAUGUAGGUUGCCUACAUGAGACUAUGCUGACCUGCCCGCCUAAUUGUGGUUACUAGCUACUGUUUUUCGGGUAAUAAAUUUGUUAAACUUUUUGAAAUGGGCUAUCUGUUGAAAACCUUGGGCAUGAGUUUAUCGUUUUCACUCUUCAUAAGAAAACUUUAAAGACCAUUUGUGUAAGUGUAAUAUUCGACAAAUGUACAAUUGGGCCAACAAGUAACGCAUUUAUCCAUCAACAAAGUACUGAAACAUGAGACGUAACUUGUCAUAGAAGCAGAGCUAUAUAACAACACAACAUAAGAACUGAAACAAACAAAUCAUAAAAGUUAAACAUCGUCGGCCAAAACAGGACAAAUCAUAAAAACUAUGAUGCUAAGUGCUAACCAAAAGACAUAUUCUUAAGAGUAUAGUUGUAUUACCAACUAUAACUUGUAUUCACAUCUAUAACUUGUAUAGUUGUGGAUGACUCUGAGAGGACCUGAACAUUGCGAAUUAUAUACAACAAAAAUAUGUUGCAUUACAGUAACAAAGUGGUGCUCUAAUUCUAAAUCUAAACCUCAUCUAUCUACUCCUAAUUAAACAUUUGUUUAUGUAUAUUCCCAAAUAUACCCCUCUAUUCCUCUGCUUAUUACGGAAAAAGAGUUAAAAGAGCAGAAGAAGAAAACUCGUACAUAUCCCAAAUCUCCAACUUUUCAGGGGAAUGAUGUACUGUCCCAACCUCACCACUUCUCCAACAAUCCCUUCUUAUUUACCAUUUUGCCACCACACUCACUUUCUUCCUUCUCAUUUUCGAUCAUCUGACAAAAACCCGAAUCUCGUUUCGUGUUUUCGAGCAAAACCCAGAAUUUCUCAUUCCCUUCGGUGCUUUGCAUCAUCUUCAAUGGAGACGACUCCGACGCAGAGCAGCGAAACGAAACCUUUCUCUGUUCUUUUUGUCUGUCUCGGAAACAUUUGUCGGAGUCCAGCAGCUGAAGGUGUCUUUAGGGAUAUUGUGAAGAAGAGAGGUCUCGAUUCCAAAUUCAUAAUCGAUUCCGCUGGAACCAUUGAUUAUCACGAGGUAUACUAAUCAAAGAGAAGAACACAAAAUAAAUAAUCUAAUUUUAUGUUUGUGAAAGAAGAUUGAUGGUUGAUUUGCACAAUUAGUGAAUGAUACGAUGCUUUCAGAUGUAGAAAGUUUUGAUUUUGAAUUUAGGGUUUUUGGUGGAUGUAAUUUGGUGGAGUUAGGAGCAGCAGAGACUCUGAAUCAAUUUUGAUUGUGAAACUGCUCUUUUGAAUGGGGAAGAACAAAAAUAAUAAUCUAUUUUUAGGGUUGGAACAAUUAGUGCAUGAUGGUUUCAGAUGCAGAAAUGCUUGAUUUCGAAUUUAUGGUUUUUUUUUGGUGGGAGUAAGGAGCAGUAGAGUGGAGACUUUGGAAUUUAUGUUUAUGAUUUUGUGAAAAUGUUCUUUUAAAAGGGGAAUAUGGCGGAUCCAAGAAUGAGAAGUGCUGCGAAACGUCGUGGGAUUGAGUUAACAUCAUUAUCCAGACCGAUUAAGGCAUCUGAUUUCAGGGAAUUUGAUCUCAUUCUUGCAAUGGAUGACCAGAACAAAGGUAGAGCAUAUAGUAAUUUAUUCAACGUUAAGGAAUUGUAUGGUUAGAUCGAUUAGUUAUGGAGAAUUGAAAUGUAUAUGAAUUUGAAUGUUUGAUGUUUGCAGAGGAUAUAUUGAAGGCUUAUAAUGUGUGGAAAAACAGAGGGAAUUUCCCGCCCGAUGCAGAUAAGAAGGUACCGUUAGUGUUUGUUGUUGUUGUUUGGAACACUUUGGAACACUUUUUAGGCGAUUUUCAAAACACUUUCUUUGAAAUUUUCAGGUUAAGCUAAUGUGUUCUUAUUGCAAGAAACACAAUGACAAGUUUGUUCCUGAUCCAUAUUAUGGUGGAGCUCAAGGUUUUGAGAAGGUAAUCACCAUUAGAGACUAAAGAAGCUGUAUGCAAAUAUUAAAUUUGGUUUACACCAUAAGAGGUUGUCUAUCAAAAUGGUUGAUUUAGUCUAUAAGACUCCCAAGUAACCCUUCCAUUCCCGAAUUUUACUGUUUUGUUUGGACAAAACUCACUUGGAAACAUGAAUCUUGAUCUCUUACUUGGUCUACUUGUUUCUUUCACAGGUACUGGACUUGCUUGAAGAUGCUUGUGAGUCUUUGCUGGAUAGUAUCCCUGUGGAAAGUUGAUGAUACAGCAAGUUCAGAGUCCCACUUUUAUUGUUACUAUUAUUGAGAUUGCUAGCUUUGCACAUACAUUUAUAGUUAUAGACAUCUUAAUGAUUUCAAAGUCUGAGAAUCUUUGAUUUGUUUUUUUAAACCUUGUUAAACUGAACAUAUUCUUAAGAACAUAUUAUUGUUUAUGUUAAUGUAUCAUAGAGGGCGGCACUGUUUACACGAUUGAAUAUUAUUAACUCUUUUGUUCUAUCAUUAUUAUCAGGAGAGAAAGAAUGUGUGGACAGUUUGAUAUUUCCUUAUCAUAUUUGGCUUCCGAGAAAUUCAGUGAAUGGUGGUGGAGCAUAUGUAGGGGCAGUGAUUCUGUCGUUAGCAACAUUUUCCACUAAAUCUCACUAUAUUUUCCUUGAAACAAUCAUGGAGUUUCUGUGCAAACAAAGUCGUCAACGGUCUAGAGCCUCAUUAACACAAAUUGUUUCAACUACAAAACUCUCUGGAUAUUUCUAGUCGUUUCAUGCAUCGGUGAGAUUAUGCUGAUGGUUUUACUCUUCACUGUGGAAUCGAAUUGAUUGGACUGGUUCUUGAUGAUUAUACUGAUGGUUUAUUUGUUUUCAAUUAGUGUAUUGAGCCCAUUUAUUGGUUAUGUGUUCUUGAUUGUAUAUGUUGGUUACAAUCAGCCUAACCAAUGUCUUGCUCAUCAAGACCUUUGGGGCAACGGAUAAUUAUAUUCGGAAAAGACGUGCUCCAGUUUUUUUUUUUUUUUUUGGGUCAAACUAUUCCCCUCAAUAAUGUUGGUCAUUAAUUAAGUUUCAUUUAUACAAUAAUAUAUGGUAAAGGAAACAUACAUGGAGUUUCCCUACCAGGCUGCCAAUAUAGUCAACGUUGUGUAUCCAUUUACACAAAGCCUCUUCCUCUUUCUUAAUCCUUCAUCUAUCUAAGAUCUUGAUUCACUCUAUACCAUACUAAUGAAUUCUGCUUCUUUUUUCCUGGUCUUAGUCGCAGCCGCUAUAGGUUUCUUCAUGCUUUUCAGAAAAUUCAAAUUCCAACAAGAGAGCAAAGAUACUAAAGCUUCUUCUUUAUCUCUUCCAUCUCCUCUAACUUCUGUGUCUCGAAUCUGGAAACAUGAUGUAUUCCCGAGCUUCCAUGGGGCAGAUGUCCGAAGAACCCUUCUUAGCCACAUCAUGGAAUCGUUCAGAAGAAAGGGAAUUGACACAUUCAUUGAUAAUAAUAUAGAGAGGAGUAAGCCGAUCGGUCCUGAGCUCAAAGAAGCUAUCAAAGGAUCGAAGAUUGCGAUAGUCUUGCUCUCCAAGAACUAUGCUUCUUCUUCCUGGUGUCUUGAUGAAUUAGCGGAAAUCAUGAAGUGCAGGGAAGUGUUGGGUCAGAUAGUCAUGACUAUUUUUUAUGAAGUGGAUCCAACUGACAUAAAGAAACAAACCGGAGAUUUUGGAAAAGCCUUCAGAAAAACAUGUAAGGGUAAAACCAAAGAGCAUAUUGAGAGAUGGAGAAAAGCUUUGAAGGAUGUGGCCAUAAUCGCCGGAGAGCAUUCUCGCAACUGGUUUGUCUUUUUGAUUUCUACUCUCCUUAAUUAAUAUUUACUUAUUAGAGUUUAUUUGUAGCUUUCAAAUAAAUAUCAAGACAAGAAAAUGCAUAUGUUUUGGAUGUGUGUAUAUGAGAAUUGUUCAUGACUAGACUAAUUAACAAUUUUACUCGAUAUCAAUCAAUGUUAGGAGCAAUGAAGCGGAGAUGAUUGAAAAGAUAUCCAUUGAUGUUUCAAACAUGUUGAAUUUAUCCAUACCAUCAAGUGAUUUCGAUGAUUUUGUUGGGAUAACAGCUCAUAUGGAAAGGAUGGAAAAGUAUUUAAGCCUAGAUUUGGAUGAAGUAAGGAUGAUUGGGAUUUGGGGUCCGCCUGGGAUUGGUAAGACGACCAUCGCUACAUGUAUGUUUGACCGAUUCUCCAGCAGAUUCCCACUUGCUGCAAUCAUGGCGGAUAUCAGAGAAUGCUAUCCAAGACUUUGUUUGGAUGAGCGUAAUGCACAAUUGAAACUACAAAAACAAAUGUUGUCUCUUAUUUUCAAUCAGAAAGAUAUAAUGAUUUCUCAUUUAGGAGUGGCACAAGAACGUUUGAAAGACAAGAAAGUGCUUCUCGUUCUUGAUGAAGUAGAUCACUCAGGACAAUUAGAUGCCUUGGCGAAAGAAAUUCAAUGGUUUGGUCCUGGAAGUCGGAUUAUUAUCACAACAGAAGAUCUAGGAGUUUUGAAGGCCCGUGGGAUCAAUCAUGUUUACAAAGUGGAUUUUCCAUCAAAUGACGAGGCUUUUCAAAUCUUCUGUAUGAAUGCCUUUGGUCAGAAACAACCAUAUGAAGGUUUCCGUAAGCUAGCUUUGGAAGUUAUGGCUCUAGCUGGUGAGCUCCCUUUGGGAUUGAAGGUUCUAGGCUCCGCUUUGCGAGGGAUGUCCAAGCCAGACUGGGAAAGGGCACUACCAAGGUUAAAAACUAGCCUCGACGGAAAAAUAGGGAGCAUUAUACAGUUCAGUUACGAUGCCUUAUGUGACGAAGAUAAAUAUCUAUUUCUUUAUAUAGCCUGCCUUUUUAUAUACGAAUCAACAACCAAAGUGAAAGAGCUUCUUGGAAAGUUCUUGGAUGUGAGGCAAGGUCUUUACGUAUUAGCUCAGAAAUCUCUCAUAUCCAUUGAUGGAGAAACAAUCAAGAUGCAUACUUUGCUAGAACAAUUCGGAAGAGAAACUUCCCGUAAACAAUUCGUUCGUCAUGGCUUUACAAAACGUCAGCUUUUGGUUGGUGAAAGGGAUAUAUGUGAAGUGCUUGAGGAUGAUACAACAGUAAGUUUUUUCCAUUGCAUCUCCUCUAUGAAUUGAGUUUAUUUGAUUACUAACCAGCAUUACUUAUAUUUAUUUUUGGCUCAUUUUACAGGAUAGUAGACGUUUUAUAGGGAUAAAUUUAGAUUUAUCUAAGACUGAGGAAGAAUUGAAUAUAAGUGAGAAAGCACUUGAAAGAAUGCAUGAUUUUCAAUUCGUUAGAAUCAAGGAUAAGAAUCGUGCUCAGACUGAGAGACUGCAGUCAGUACUGGAAGGUCUGAUUUAUCAUUCUCAAAAGAUUAGAUUACUGGAUUGGAGUUAUUUCCAGGAUAUAUGUUUGCCUUCUACUUUUAAUCCGGAGUUUCUCGUCGAACUAACUCUGAAAUACAGCAAGCUUCAAAAGCUAUGGGAAGGAACUAAAGUAAGUAGUUUUGAUUAAAACUUUCAAUUUUCAAUUUUGUAAAAAUCUAUAAUUUGUUUCCGAAAAUGUUUUUUCUUAACAAACUCCAAAUUUAUAGGCCAAUCGUAUCAACAUGAUCUUCUUUGUCAAAUGCAGAAACUUAAAAAUCUCAAAUGGAUGGAUUUGGGUGGUUCUGAAGAUCUAAAAGAGCUUCCCGAUCUUUCAACAGCAACUAAUCUCGAAGAAGUAAAUCUCCGAAAUUGCUCAAGUUUAGUGGAACUUCCGUCUUCAAUUGGGAAUGCAACCAAACUUGAGCUACUGAAUCUUGAUGAUUGCUCGAGUCUUGUGAAGCUUCCAUCCUCUAUCAAUGCCCCUAAUCUGCAGAAAUUGUCUCUAAAUAAUUGUUCACGUAUAGUGGAGCUUCCCGCUAUCGAGAACGCAACUAGUCUCCGGAAAUUGUUUCUCGUUAAUUGCUCAAGUCUGGUGAGAAUCCCUUCUUCUAUUCAGAAUGCGACCAAUCUCCGGGAAUUUGAUCUCACAGAUUGCUCAAAUCUUGUGGAGCUUCCAUCUAUUGGGGAUGCAAUCAAACUUGAGCGACUGUGUCUUGAUAAUUGCUCAAAUCUUGUGAAGCUUUUCUCCUCUAUCAAUGCAACUAAUCUCCAUAAAUUUUCUCUAAGCGAUUGCUCAAGUCUUGUGGAGCUCCCCGAUAUCGAGAAUGCGACUAAUCUCAAGGAAUUAAUUCUCCAAAAUUGCUCAAGUCUACUAGAGCUCCCUCCUUCUAUUGGAACUGCCACAAAUCUGAAGAGAUUGAAUAUUAGCGGAUGCUCAAGUCUCGUGAAACUCCCCUCCUCUAUUGGAGAUAUCACUAAUCUCCAGGAAUUGUAUCUCAAUAAUUGUUCACGUGUUGUGGAGCUCCCCGAUAUCGAGAAUGCGACUAAUCUCAAGGAUUUAAUUCUCCAAAAUUGCUCAAGUCUACUAGAGCUCCCUCCUUCUAUUGGAACUGCCACAAAUCUGAAGAGAUUGAAUAUUAGCGGAUGCUCAAGUCUCGUGAAACUCCCCUCCUCUAUUGGAGAUAUCACUAAUCUCCAAGUGUUUGAUCUAUCCAACUGCUCAAGUCUACUAGAGCUCCCUCCUUCUAUUGGAACUGCCACAAAUCUUUGGAGAUUGAAUAUCAGUGGAUGCUCAAGUCUCGUGAACUCCCCUCCUCUAUUGGGGAUAUGACUAAUCUCGUAGCUUUUGAUCUAUCCAACUGCUCAAGUCUUGUGGAGGUUCCAUCCGCUAUAGGAAAACUUCAAAAAUUGUCUGAGUUGAAAAUGAGAGAAUGCUCAAAGCUAGAGGCUCUUCCAACAAAUAUCAACUUGGAAUCUCUCCGUACACUUGAUCUCACAAAUUGCUCCCAGUUGAAAAGAUUUCCUGAGAUCUCCACAAACAUUAAGUAUCUCAGGCUCACAGGAACUGCAAUAAAAGAAGUUCCUUUGUCGAUCAUGUCAUGGUCUCGUCUUUAUGACUUUGGGAUUUCAUACUUUGAAAGCCUCAAGGAAUUCCCGCAUGCUCUUGACAUCAUCACGGAGCUGCAGUUGAACGAAGAUAUACAAGAGGUUGCUCCAUGGGUCAAGGGAAUGUCUCGUUUACGUAAACUCAAGCUCUACAACUGCAACAAUCUGGUAUCACUCCCCCAACUUUCAGAUUCCCUAUCUUACUUAGAUGCAGAUAAUUGUCAAUCCCUUGAGAGACUGGAUUGUACCUUUAACAAUCCAGAUAUUCGUCUCAAAUUCUCCAAAUGCUUCAAUUUGAAUCAAGAAGCCAGAGAUCUUAUCAUGAACACAUCGACUUUUCAUCCUGCGAUCAUAUCAUGUACACAAGUGCCUGCCUGCUUCAAUCACCUGGAGAUGUUACCGGAUAGUUCUGGGGGUUCCUUGACAAUCAAGUUGAAUGAGUCGCCUCUUCCCACAUCCUUGAGAUUUAAGGCUUGUUUCAUGCUGGUUAUGGGUAACGAAGAAACUGGUGCUGAUAAGAGUUUGAUGGAAGUAAUGAUUAACAUCAGGGACAAACAGAAUGAUCUCAAAGUUCGGUGUACACCAAGCCUUUAUAGUAUACAGCCACUUUUAACAGAGCAUAUAUACACAUUUGAAGUUGAAACAGAGGAGGUGACUUCCACCGAGCUUGUCUUUGAGUUCAAAACACGCUAUAGCAAAUCUUGGAGGUCCCUUCCUGAUUGGAAGAUCAAAGACUUGGGGAUAUCUUGGAGGUCCCUUCAUGAUAGCAAUUGGAAGAUCAAAGACUUGGGGAUAUCUUGGAGGUCCCUUCAUGUAGAUGAGCGUCGAUGGGAUACUGUUAGAAAUUUUAACCCAUUUUCAUCUUUAAUUUAUUUGAAGUUUAUGACGUUGUACGUGUGAAAGAUUAUCAAUGUGCAGUGUUGGGUUAUGUUUAAAAUUUAAAUUAAUUGCAGUGAAGAAGAUAUAUGCAAACAAGGACGGUGAAGAUAAGAGACGAGGAAGAGAAGAAGCUGUUGAGACUUUAAAAUUCAUGUAUUGAAAGCAAGAUUGAAUUUCCCACCUGAUGCAGAUAAAAAGGUACCUUUGGUGUUUGUUGUUUGCUGGACUUUUGAAUUCUUCUUUUGGGAGAUUUUAGAACUGCUUUCAUUGAAUUUUCAGUUUAAGCUAAACAUGUAUUAGGAUGGAGCAAUAUCAAGUGGAAGAUAGGAGAAUGCGGGAUACUCCAAACCUUGGAGGUUCCUUCGUGUUAAUGAACAUGGUGAGGUUAAAAACUUUUAUCCCAUUUCCAUCGUUAAUUAUGUGAUUCUAUAAGUUUUAAAAUUUGUGCAUAAUUGAUACUAAUUGCAGAUAAGGAGAUAUAUGCAAACAAAGAUAGAGAUGUUAAAACCGUAUUUUCAGAUUUGUUUUCAUUUUUAAGUUAAUGUGUUGUCUCUCUGUAACAAAUGAGCCUCUUUUUAUUGAAUAUAUAUACAAUAGAAGGGAAAAAAAACAACCCAGAAAUACA
This 60388-nucleotide long non-coding RNA is filed under the name Arabidopsis lyrata. RNAcentral's name for it is "long non-coding RNA (ALYR_LNC001717)". Lineage: Eukaryota; Viridiplantae; Streptophyta; Magnoliopsida; Brassicales; Brassicaceae. The record is from RNAcentral.